Anolis carolinensis (green anole) is the source of this 51575-nucleotide long non-coding RNA. RefSeq lists it as uncharacterized. The record is from RefSeq and is a predicted model, not a curated record. Lineage: Eukaryota; Metazoa; Chordata; Lepidosauria; Squamata; Anolidae. The transcript is spliced from 3 exons.
UUCAGCUAUUUCUCAUUUUCUCUGGUUGCUGCAAUUCGAGCAGCUUUUGACUGCUAAAAUGUGUGAGUCCAAGGCUGAGCUUGUCUAUUGGCUUUGAAAAUGGCCAGUGAAUACUAGCUGUGGUGCAGAAAAAUCCUAGGCAUGUGCCAAAUAUUGUGUGUUUCCUUUGGGUCUAUCUAUAGUAAAAUUAAUGCAGUUUUAUACUACUUUUCUUAUUUGUUUAAAAAAUGAGGCUAAAUGAUUGCUCCAUGGUGAUGUUGGGAGAAAGAGAUUGUUCUGCACCUUGCAUUUGCUUUAUGGGGAGGAAAUGGUAUUUUCUACUUGGAUAGAAAUGAGUGUAUCAUCUAGUGUUUUUCCAUAAAUAAGUUGCAGGAUUUGUGAGUAUUCCAACAGAAUUCUUGGAAAGUUUUUCUAGAGGUCAUUUUAAAGUCCCUCUUAUCCGUCUUCUCUAUGUUAGGUUCACAUUCAAGUAUAAGAUUCUCGAAGGUGGCUAUUUGACUUGCAUGCAUAGGCUCUUUGGUGAAGAAGACAAGAUUGAGUCUUUGUUAGCAUCAUGGUCAAACAAUAUCAGCUGCCAAGUGCUACAGAAAGGGUUAUUUCAUAUAAGUGAUGGCUGAGAAUGGACAGGUGGAGUGACUUUAUAGUUGUCCCUCUACAGCUAUAAAUUGUGGUUUUGACUUUUGUGGAUAUGAUUAUUCACAUAUUUGAUUAAAAAUGUUCUCUUUAGGAUUCCAAGUCCUCCAGUUUGGUUCUAUGUCCAACUUUAUCUAAAUACACUGGCGAACCUAGAGAUUUCUCUCUAGGAACCACUACAUCUUUCAAUACAAUUCUAUGUUCAACUACUAGCAGAGGUCAUGCUGAAAGACUAGGGCCCCUUCUAUACUGUUAUAUAAUGCAGAUUAUCAAAUCAGAUAAUCCACGCUAUCUGCUUUGAACUGGAUUAUAUGGCAUAUAAUCUGCCAUAUAAGACUGCCAUAUAAUCCAGUUCCAAUCAGAUAAGCAGUGUAAAAGAGGCUUUCGAUGUUCCUAGAGAGUUGUUCUUCUAGGUACAAAUAAGCAAUUCACAGUUGUUCACAUUCACAGGGUCCUGUUCUCUGAAGACCAGUGAAUCCAGAGGGCUGACUAUACUUCUUUUGCCAAUUGCCUUCUUCAAUUCUCAUGGCUAUGGGGGGGGGGGGGAGUGGAAGGCAGAUGGGUUGUACUUGCACACUUAUUAUUUUUAUUCGCUUCUGCACUGUUUAGCUCUCUGGAGUCUUAUCUUCUAUGCUCUUCAUCUAGAGAGAUGUACAGCAACCCAGGGGGUCCCCAUUUUGCCAGCAAUGGAGAAUUGGAUUGCUGCCCAGGGACAGUCUUGGCAGAAUAAGCUGUUGAGUGAGCUCCGUCAGCAGAAAGCUGGAAGUUUUCUCUGCUGGGUACCAUCUGCUGCAUUAUUUACCACUAUAACACACUUAUCUUAUAGCCAUAACCUGCACCAGUCUUUGGCACUAAGAAAAUAAUAAUAAUAAUAAUAAUAAUAAUAAUAAUAAUAAUAAUAAUAAUAAUGAAUGUAAUACCCACCUCUCUCUGAGGCUUGAGGCGGGGUACAACAUCAUUAAAACAAGAAAUAAAACACUAUUAAAAGGCAUACAACAAUAUAAACAGAGUUAAAAUACAAGUUAAAAUCCACCAAUAAAAUGCAGAGUAAAAUUCACAAUUUAACAUUGACUGGGUAUGCCUGCUGGAAGAGAUGGGUCUUCAAUUGUGUCUUAAAUUCUGACAGCUGAUUUAGCAUCAUAUCUCUUCUUGUAGGUCAUUCCACAGUUUUGGGGUGAGCCUUGGGAAGGCCUAGAAUUACAGUUCUAUAACAGAACAUAAGUGUUAGGAGUAUAUUGAACAGGAACGAUGAUAGGGCUCCUGGUUUUACUUAAGUCAGGCCCCUUCUACACUGCCAGAUAAAAGACAGAUUAUCUGUUGGAGUAUGGUUGUAUUUGUAUGAAAUGUAAAUCAAGUGUUUACUGCUGAUGAGCAAGAGUGUGUAUUUUUCAGUAAUGAAAUAGUUAACAGCAGGCUAGUUUUGACUGACAGCCUGUUGUGAUUGCUAUGACCUAUGAGACUUGAUUUCCUGCCUUUGAGGGUUGGAACUUCCUCCGGACUGAGGAAUAUUGUUUAUCUUAUCUGUGGUGUUCGGUGUGAGCAUUCGCUGAAGAUGGACUAUGAAUGCUAUGCUCUGAAGCCAAGAAAUGCAAACUGUAAAUAGACAUGUAAAUAAAGUUAAUCAACAAUUGGACUUCGUCUGCUGGAGUGUUUGUUUGACCAGUGCUGUUUCUCAGCAUGUGAAUACAGUCUGGAGAAGGAGGUGAGACGAGGAUGAUGAUUUUUGGAAUCCACUCUGCACAACCAUCAUCCCCUGACAUUAUUUGCUUUGAACUGGAUUAUAUAAGUGUAGACUCAGAUAAUCCAGUUCAAAGCAGAUAAUGUGGAUUAUCUAUUUUGAUAAUCUGGAUUAUAUGGCAGUGUAGAAGGGGCCUCAAAUAAACAUAUGGGGAAAUGUGUUGAGAAUAAAACUUGAAUGUAUCUCUUUUUUAAAAAGAGAGGAUCAAGCAAAUAGAGAAGUGACAUAUAAUUUAUCAUUCCAUGACUGCAAGGAAUCUCGGCACAGGACAGACCAAGUAGAGGACAAUCUUGGAAACCAAAAGUGUCCUCCUUGCUCCCUUAUCUCCCAUGCAAACAUACCUCUUUCUCAGUUCUAUGGGGACAACUAUAAUUGAAUAUUUUAAAAACAAUCAAAAUUUAAGUCCCAGCAUGUAUGUAUUUGUGUAUAUGCAGUCAGAUUCCUGUAUUCACAGGGAAUACAUUCUUGGCUUGACUUCAGUUGUAUGGAAUUAAAAAUACGACAGAGCACCACUGAAUUAUGUCCUUCACUUCUUGUCUCAGCAUGCCAUAGAUGUUUGUUGGAGGAAUUAGAGAUUCCUAAAGAAGUAUCAUUUCUAGUAAUUUGUUAAUACAGUAGAGUCUCACUUAUUCAAGACUCGCUUAUCCAAGGUUCAGGAUUAUCCAAUGCAUUUUUGUAGUCAAUGUUUUCAAUAUAUCAUGAUAUUUUGGUGCUAAAUUCGUAAAUACAGUAAUUACAACAUAACAUUACUGCAUAUUGAACUACUUUUUCUGUCAAAUUUGUUGUAUAACAUGAUGUUUUGGUGCUUAAUUUGUAAAAUCAUAACCUAAUUUGAUGUUUAAUAGGCUUUUCCUUAAUCCCUCCUUAUUAUCCAAGAUAUUCGCUUAUCCAAGGUUCUGCAGGUCCGUUUAGCUUGGAUAAGUGAGACUCUACUGUAACUCCAAAACAGCUGUAUGGUAACUUCCAGGGGAAAAUAUACCAUAGAAUUAUCUGGAGGAUACAGCAAAUUUCUAAUGAGAAAAUUUCUUCCCAGGUGCAUGUAAGUGAACCCACAAAGUUUGAGUUUCAUAGUUAUAAGGGUCUUUCUCUAUCUCUCUAUCUCUGUGUGUUUCACAACAAUACUACAAACAAUAUGUUACAUUUGAUACAUAUUAAUUGUCCCCAAAGACAUUCAAUCCAGUACUAGUUUAGGACUUGUUUGCUGGACUCAUUUGCUUGUGUUGCUCAUUGCAACAUUUUCAUGCAACCAUAAAGCCAUAAAUAAUAAUACAAAAAUAAAAUAGAUUGAAAUGCAAUAACAACAUUAGAUCACAAAUAUUACCCUCUUUCUGCCCUCCUAAAUACAUACUGUAACUUAAAAUACCAGUCGCUUAUUCAAGGUGAAAUGGGCCCAACACUUAGUGUUUGCUCCCUCUUUUUUCUGAACUCAGCCAUCAAGUAUAAUAUGAGUCCCAUGUACAUGGCACCAGUAACUGUGGUUUCACUAUCUACUUCAACAUUUUGCCUAUUUACAAAAUGCUGUAAGUCACCCCGAGUCCUUUCGGGGAGAUGGGGCAGGGUAUAAAUAUGGAUUAUUAUUUGAAACACAAGUUGAGUCCACAGCAGACACUCUUCUGGCUGUUGUAUUGGAUCACACACCGGACACUUCCCAAGUGUCUAGGACUGUGUGAUGUAUUGGUGAAUAAUGUAUGCAGAUCCCAGUAAGGUGGCCUUCUGCAGCUGGCAGAUGGUAAUUUUGUCAGCGCCGAUUGUGUUUAAGUGCAGGCCAAGGUCUUUAGGCACUUCACCCAGUGUGCUGAUCACCACUGGGACCACCUUGACUAGCUUGUGCCAGAGUCUUUGCAAUUCAAUCUUUAAAUCCUCAUAUCGUGUCAGCUUUUCCAGGUUGUUGUUGUUGUUGUUGUUGUUAUCAUUACUAGUACUAGUACUACUACUAGGCAUUUUCAAGGCACUUCAGUGUGUUUCUGUGGUAUUGUUGGACUGGAAGUCCUUCAUUUGAAUAGAAUUUGCUGUUUAUAUCUGGUUUUGCAUGUCCGCAUGCCAUCUUGAAACACAUACUCUGCAGAUGUGCGCUUAUACUGUACAGCCCUUUCCUUAAGACCGCCCAAACAAACAAGUUGUAGUGGUUACACAAAUACUCUGCUAUAAACUCUGUUCUAUCCUUUUCAGCCCUUAACUUUGCCUUCAAAAUGUUGUUUGAUGUUUAGCCCCCAGUGUUCUUCAGCCCUGGUGCUGGCUAUGGCUAUAUAAUGUCCUUUCUUCUCCUGAGCCCAAAGAGUUGGUUUUCAGGAAGGAGGAAGAGGAGGCCAUCAAUGCUUUGCUAGGUCUCCCCAAAAAAGGCUGUUUCUCCCAAGUGAUGGGUAGGAAAGAUCAGAAUCACUAUACGGGAUAUCAUACCUUGUGACAGGAGAAAUAGUUUUCCACUCUGAAUUCUGCAGCUUGUUGAUCAAUUCACAAUCCAACAACUACUGUAGUCACACUCUGCAAAGACUAUAGGUCUACCUUGAUCUUUCCUUCCCUACAACUUGUGGAUGCUGGCAAGUAUUUGAACAUAAAUUAGGUUGGCAUGAAUAUGUACAUACAUAUGGUUGUCAUUUCUACUUGGACUUUUAGUUUCAGACAUAUGGAUUGUUCACUUUAAUCAAGAGGCUUCAUCUCUGACUAUUCAGUACUUCCUAAUAUUAUUUUGAACUGUUUCUUUAAAUAUCUUUGUUUGCUUGUUUCCCUUCACCUCUGCCCCUCCUUAUUUGUUAUUGGAUUACUAUGAUUUAGUGCAAAAUAGGAGACACAAAUGGAUUGGACAGAAACUGUUCUCAAUUGGCCUAGUUUUAUAUGCAAGAAUUUUAGUAGGGAUGCUCCCAAACUGAAAACUUGUCCUGUCCCAGGUCUUUUUGCACUUGUCAGUUGCAUCAGUCAAAGAAGGUCCAGGGAAAAUUAUUUUUAGGAUCACAGCUCCCAGAAUCAACCUACUUGGCUGACUGCAGAACUCUGGGUAUAUGCUGGCAGGGAAAAUCUGAGUUUCAAUCCUAAAAUGUACUUUUCCAUGCUCCACUUGAGUCAAUAUAACUUCAGUCUUUGGAGAAUGCUUUUGGUAUACUUUGCAGACUUUGAAUAAGUUUAGGUUUUAAAAUGCUAAGCAAUACAAACAACACUGAGGCAUUUUAUAUCACUUAAAUCAAGGCACUUGUGCCUUUUCAGACAUUGCUGGACUACAACUCACAUGGGGAGUCACCAACAAAUUAACAAGGGUUGCUGGGAGUUGCAACCCAGUAGCAUUUGAGGAAACAGUUGGUUUUAGAUCCAGGUUUUAGUUUUUUUUCUUUCUUCUAUAUGGGUCACCUUCCAUUCUGUUAUAAAUAUUAAUAACAGUUGGGUGCUAUUUAACAUCUACAUGAAACUGCUAGUUGAGAUCAUCCGGAGUUUUGGAGUUCGGUGACACUCAACUCUACUACUCUUUUCCACCUAAAGCCAGGGAAGCCAUUCAGGUCCUGAGCCAGUGCUUGGCAGCUGUUAUGGGCUGGAAAGGCUAACAAAUUCAAACUUUAUCCUGACAAGACAGAGGUCUUCUUGCUCAGUUGUGGGACCGAUUGAGGUAUAGGGUGGCUUACUGUGCUCGACAGGGUCAUAUUCUCCCUGAAGACUUAGGUCCGCAGUCUGUGGGUCCUCCUGGACUCAGCGCUGACUUUUGAAGCUCAGGUGUCAGCGGUGGCCAGGAUGGCUUUCACACUAUUAAAACUUGUGUGCCAGCUGCACCUGUACCUCGAAAAAGCUGAUCUGUCCACACUAGUCCACACCUUAGUUACAUCUCAGAUGGAUUACUGCAAUGCAGUCUCUGUGGGGCUGCCUAUGAAGACAGUUUGGAAACAUUUUCUUUUGUGUCAGGGGUGACUCGAGAAAAUGCAAGUCACUUCUGGUGUGAGAGAAUUGGCUGUCUGCAAGGACGUUGCCCAGGGGAUGCCCAGAUGUUUUGAUGUUUUAUCAUCCUUGUGGGAGGCUUCUCUCAUGUCCCCUCAUGAAGCUGAGGCUGAUAGAGGGAGCUCAUCAGCACUCUCCCCGGGUUGGAUUCGAACCGGCAACCUUCAGGUCAGCAACCCAACCUUCAAAUCAGCAGUCCUUCAAAUUCUUCAGGUUCUUCAAGUUCGGAAACUGCAAUUAGUGCAAAGAGUGGCAGACAGAUUUCUGACAGGAGCUGACAACAGGGAGCACGUCACUCUCUUGUUAAAGCACUCCCACUGGCUGCCUGUGUGUUUCCGGACCCAAUUCAAAAUGCAGGCUAUCACCUAUAUAGCUCUUUAUGGUUCAGGUCCAGCCUAUUUACGUUACUGUGUCUCCCCCUAUGAACCUAUUCGUGCCUUAAGGCCCUCACAAGUGCAGCUGGUGGAAAUGAGGGAGAGGGCCUUCUCAGGGGUGGCCCCCAAAAAAUUAGCUAGACCCCCUCUAGCCACCUUUAGAAAAGAACUGAAAACAUGGACAUGGAAGUAGGUGUUUGGAAAUGAUUAAUUAUAACUUAUCAAGAUGGUGAAUUGUUUUUUGCUGUGGUGUACAAUAUAAUCCAGGAGCCCCGGUGGCGAAGUGCAUUAAAGCACUGAGCUGCUGAACUUGCAGACCGAAAAGUCCCAGGUUCAAAUCCCGGGAGCGGAAUGAGCGCCCGCUGUUAGCCCCAGCUCCUGCUAACCUAGCAGUUCGAAAACAUGCCAAUGUGAGUAGAUCAAUAGGUACUGCUCUGGCGGGAAGGUAACGGCACUCCAUGCAGUCAUGCCGGCCACAUCAUCUUGGAGGUGUCUACGGACAACGCUGGCUUUUCGGCUUAGAAAUGGAGAUGAGCACCAACCCCCAGAGUUGGGCAUGACUGGACUUAAUGUCAGGGGAAAACCUUUACCUUUUACUACAAUAUAAUCCAGCAGAAUUAUAAAUGAUUAAUUUUAUUAUGAUAUUGUUAUUUUUAGUUCUUAGCUUGUUUUGCUUUGAUAUUGUUGUUCAUGUAUUUAUUCUAUUUUUUGUUUUGGUUUUGUACUGUGACUUAUUUUUGUAAGCUGCCCCCUGUCCUGUUUGGAGAGUGGGCGGGAUAUAAAUAAAGUUUAUUAUUAUUACAGUAGAGUCUCAGUUAUCCAACAUAAACGGGCUGGUAGAACAUUGCAUAAGGGAAAAUAUUGGAUAAUAAGGAGGGAUUAAGAAAAAAGCCUAUUAAACAUAAAAUUACAUUAUGAUUUUACAAAUUAAUCACCAAAACAUCAUGUUUUACAACAAAUUGACAGAAAAAGCAGUUCAAUACACAGUCAUGUUAUGUAGUAAUUACUGUAUUUACGAAUUUAGCACCAAAACAUUGCAACAUUUACUACAAAAACAUUGACUACUAAAAGGCAGACUGUGUUGGAUAAUACAGAACAUUGGAUAAGUGAAGCUUGGAUAAGUGAGACUCUACUGUAUUAUUAUUAUUAUUAUUAUUAUUAUUAUUAUUAUUAUUAUUAUUAUUAUUAUUAUUAUUAUUCAGAUAGCCAUAUCUCAGAUUCUUAAUUCAAAAUAUUUACAAGACCUCUGCAUUCUCCUGAAGCUUCUUUGCUUCUGUUUUCAAAGUGUGCAGCUUUGAUCUGGAAAGUAUCUAAUUAAAAAUAGUUUAUCAUGUUAUCCAGACUUUGAAACAAUGAGUACCUUUUUUUAAAAAAAAAUGCCAAGAUAUUAAACCAUGAUUUGAAGUUUGUUUAACAGCCAAGUUUGUUCUAAAGAUAUGGUUAAUGAUUCAUUCUGGUUUAAUUGCAAAAGGAAAAAGCUCAACUACGUCUUGGUUAAAUGAGGUGAGAGAAGAUAACCUCAACUGACACAUUUUUCUUAUAAACAUAUUAAAUCACCCAGCUGGGCAACAAAGUGACAGUGCAUUGAUUUCUGGCUUCCCUUUUUGAAACAUCUCUUGCCAUCCCCACAAUGCUUUCUAUUUUAUUAAGAAGGCUUUUGGAAUGGUAAAACAUGCAUAAUCUCUCACUAUGAAAUUGUUUUGCUCUUUUGAGGGCUCAGAUCAGCUGAUGCAGCCAAGUGACUGUUCAGCAUAUAUUUAUCAUUGUGAGGGGAGGUCAUUACAUAAUCAAUAACAAGGUUUUAUUACGUAAUGUGGGGUGGUGGAAAAAAAUUACAAUCCGACAUCUUUUUGACAACAUGUUAUUGGUAGCCUUCUACUUAUCGUCAUAUGAGCACAGGCACCCCCAGAUUGGUGCCUUCCAAAUUUGUUGGACAGCAAUUGGGAUGUUAGGGAAUGAUGGAAGUUGUAGUCCAUUCCAUUUGGAAGGCAGUAGGUUGAAGGAGGUUGUGUCUUGAUUUUUUCUGUAUUCCUUAGGUUCUGUAGCUGCCUUUGAAGACCCUAUUCCAGGGGUCCCCAAACUUUUUAAACAGGGGGCCAGUUCACAAUCCUUCGGACUGUUGGAGGGCCAGACUAUAGUUGGCCACCGAGCAAUAAUAAUAAUAAUAACAACAACAAAAACAGCAAUAAUAAUAAUAAUAAUAAUAAUAAUAAUAAAGAGGGUUGGAAGAGACCCCUUAGGCCAUUGAGUCCGACCCCGUUCUGCCUCUGGCACAAAAAACACAAGCAAAGCACCCCUGACAGAUGGCCACCCAGCCUCAAUGUUAAUAAUAAUAAUAAUAAUAAUAAUAAUAAUAAUAAUAAUAAUAAAGAAGGUUGGAAGAGACCUCUUGGGCCAUUGAGUCCAACCCCCUUCUGCCUCUGGCACCAAAAGCACAAGCAAAGCACCCCUGACAGAUGGCCACCCAGCCUCAAUGUUAUUAUAAUAAUAAUAAUAAUAAUAAUAAUAAUAAUAAUAAUAAUAAUAAAGAGGGUUGGAAGAGACCCCUUGGGCCAUUGAGUCCAACCCCCUUCUGCCUCUUUGCACCAAAAGCCCAAGCAAAGCACCCCUGAUAGAUGGCCACCCAGCCUCAAUGUUAAUAAUAAUAAUAAUAAUAAUAAUAAUAAUAAUAAUAAUAAUAAAGAGGGUUGGAAGAGACCUCUUGGGCCAUUGAGUCCAACCCCCUUCUGCCUCUUUGCACCAAAAGCAGAUGCAAAGCACCCCUGAGAGAUGGCCACCCAUCAAUAAUAAUAAUAAUAAUAAUAAUAAUAAUAAUAAUAAUAAUAAUAAUAAUAAUAAAGGUUGUAAGAGAAGAAGAGACCCCUUGGGUCAUUUAGCCCAAUCCCCUUAUGCCCUUGUGCCUUGGGGGCCGGAUAAAUGGCUUCGAUGGGCCACAUCCGGCCCCCGGGCCUUAGUUUGGGAACCCCUGCCCUAUUCCUUUAGUUUUCUUUUUUAGCCCUGUUGUUUUCUGACAUCUCUGGAAUUCUUAUCUGAGGGUAGCAAUUAUGUCAGUAUCAUAAUCAGGAUUUUCAUUGCGAUUUUAAUGUCAGUUCUAGCUGUAUACUCUCCCUAUGGCAAAUGGCUUGAAACACAAAGAUGCCAUUUACCAUUCUUUACAUAACCUUGUCACGCUUUAUUUUAUAUGCUGGUCUAAGACAAAGACAUUUUGGAAUGACAUGCAUAAUACGAUCUUGCCUGGUGGUACAAGAGGAGUGUGCUCUUAGAUCCCUUGUAAUCUUGUUGGUUCAUUUGGAGGAGUUUGUUUCAGAUCAAAGGCAGUGAAUCUGGAACCUACAAACCACUGCAAGAAUUUGGGUGGUGAAAUAUUUUGGUGGUAUAGACAAAAUAAGUUUUUCUUUAAAUGUCAGAGAACCCAUUUGUUUAAUAAGAACUUACAAGUAUUGGCUAGAUGGCCUGACUUAGUAUGAGAUUGCAUCCUAUGAAAUACAAGGCUAGGUUAUCUAUUAAGUGUAGUUUUAUUAACUGUUCCAUUGUAAAAACAAUGCUCCAGGCAGCUCAGAACAUAUGAAAACAAUAAAAGAUAUUAAAAACAAUAAAUAUUAAAAGAUAUUAAAACAAUAAAACAACCUUCAGAAAAAUACAAAACAAAAGAGAAGCACAGAAGAUAAAACUAGUGUAAUUUGAGAAAUGCUGAUGUCCAGUAUGGUUAUUAUUUUUCUGUUAUUGUUUUCAUUGAAAAUGUUUUUAGUCUUUAGUAUGACUUCUGAGAAUUGUCAUGUGUUAUGAUUGAAGUGCUUCCUUGGUGUCUCUACAAUGGAGAGGGAUUGUGCAGUUAUUUUUUGCAAAGCUUAUAAUACAACUUCUACCCUCCCGAUACAGAAGCUGACUAAUUGUCAGCUGAAUCUUAAUUUGACACUAGUCACAGCUCCGCAGUUCAUCUGAGGCUAACAGGGUAGCUGUGCAUGUGUCUGUUUGCAUCUGUCUGCAUCUGUGUGAUGUGACACAUAUUUUUUGUCUUCCAGCCCCUUUCCACUGUUUUGUUCCUCCCAUAGUCCACUGUCAACGGUGGUUGACACACUCUUCUUUAUGGUAUGGGCAGCCCUACUUAUUUUGUGAAAGACUGUAAAUCAGUUAUAUUUUAAUACAGACAAGUCUCCUUUUUCCAGAACCAAAAUUCUUUGCCUUUGAGGAAAGGGGGUAAUUUCACAUAGAGAUCUCCCUUUUCUCAAGGAGUUGUCACUCUAUCACAGUCUUAAAGGAGGAGAAUCUGAAUUCUGCUACUGGAUUUACACAAAUCCCCUGUAAAAGUUGUUAAUGUGGGAUUUGUGUAUUGAUAGUGUUUAAAUGCAAUUGUGUCAUGCUUGUAUUGCAACUGAUUGCAUCAUCCAGAAUGUACCAUAGUGUGGAAAGAGUUAAUUGCCAAGAAGCUGUGAUGACCUUGAUGUGUGGCUGGAACUAGGGAGUAUCCAGACACAAGUGUGUGUGCUUAUUGAUUGCAUCAGUUCAGUCAAGAUCUGUCUGCCUAGGAGUUGAGUUCUGUCUGCCUAGAGUUUGAGUCCUGUGUUCAUCUGUCAUCUGUUAGUCUGUUAGUCUGUUUCAGAUUCCACCUGAACAUCAGGAAGAACUUCCUCACUGUGAGGGCUGUUCGACAGUGGAACUCUCUCCCCCGGGCUGUGGUGGAGGCUCCUUCCUUGGAGGCUUUUAAGCAGAGGCUGGAUGGCCAUCUGUCAGGGGUGCUUUGAAUGCGAUUUCCUGCUUCUUGGCAGGGGGUUGGACUGGAUGGCCCAUGAGGCCUCUUCCAACUCUACUAUUCUAUGAUUCUAUGAUUCUAUACAGUAAAACUUUGUAAAUAGUUUUACCAACAUCUCUGAGUGUCUCUUCGUUCUGCGCUCCACUGAUUCCAUUCAACUACUGCUGCGCUGCUAAUACUCUGACAAAAGUCAGUGGAAGGAAAAGGCCAUCUGCAUCCAUCUGUUGUGGGCUCAGGGAAUGUCUGCAUUGCAAAACCACAUUGUAUUUUCCUUUUGCUUGCUCAAAAGUGGGCUGGACACCCUGGAAAUGGUGCAGAUUGGCUGUAGAGCCAGAGCUAUGCAACAGUUCCUAAGUCCACAGCAGCUUGAUGCAUUUGAACAUUUCUCUUCCUGACGGUCUGCUCUUUAAAAGAAAUUGGUAUACGUUCAGAAGCAGAACCCAGAGUCUUCACCCCUUCUUUUAUCCCCAUCAAAUUUCAUACUGUGAUGGAGAAAAAGUGUGGGCUGAAUGUGAAGUUAACCCUCCUCCUCAAAGGUCGAAGGAGCAGUAAAGAGUUUGGAGUCCCCUUCCCUUUCCCCCAUCAAAUUUCCAACAGUGAUGGAGCAACCUUGAGUAAAACUCAGUGGGAGCUGGAUUUGAAACUAGCUCCUUCCCUCGCUUUUCUCAUUCACUACGAACUACAGGCAUUCCAAAAUUGAAAAACAUCUAACAUCCAAAAAACCGCUGGCCUUAAGCAUUUCACAUUGAACUGUAAUAGUGUGGAAGCAGGGUUCAAAGCCCCAGGACUGUUUUAUUAGCAAAGAAUAUUAUAUCACUUGCUAACCCACUUGGAUUUCCUUUUAUAUUUUUCAAACCAGGUUUAAAGGCAAAAGGAACAGAGGUUUAUUGCUUUCAGGCCCUAAAGGAUGUCUGAUACAGAGUCUGUGCUUAAAAAGAAUUGGGCAUAGCCAUGCAAUACAGUGCAAGACAUGUUAUCCUCUUUGACAGCCAUUCAAAAUCCUCACUGCAGUCUCCACACUAAAUGGAGGGAAAGUGUAUUUUUCCAGCAGCAGUUGACUGCUAUUUCUGUUGCACCUCCCUAAACUUCAUAGAAUGUGGCCAUGGCCAUUAAAGUGGAGUCACAGAGCUAUUUAUUUAUUUUAUUUAUUUACAGCAUUUAUAUUCCACCCUUCUCACCCCGAAGGGGACUCAGGGCGGAUCACGUUACACAUAUAGGCAAACAUUCAAUGCCUUUUAACAUAGAACAAAGACAAGACAAACAUAGGCUCCGAGCGGGCCUCGAACUCAUGACCUCCUGGUCAGAGUGAUUCAUUGCAGCUGGUUUCAGCUGGCUUGCUCUCCAGCCUGCACCACAGCCCGGGCCACAGCCCAGAGCUACAGUUCUGCAGGGUCAAAAGGCACCAGAAGUGUUGUGUAUUACAAAAUGUCCUACGUUGACAGAAAGCCCUGAAACACUUACCUGGUAGUAACAGCAACACAAAGCCACAAGAAGAUGGGAUCUUUAAAUCUCCAACUAUGCUGCUGAUGUGCCUUUGUUCUAGGGCAGUGAUUGUUAAUCUUUGGUUUUCCAGGUGUUUUGUACUCCUGCUCCCAGUUGACCAGGGAUUCUGUGAUAUCAAGAAUCAAACCCCAAAUUAUGAAUUAUUAUUUGUGUCUCCAUUAGAAAAUAUAGCCAGUUACACGGUCAUUUCUAAUGGCCUUAAAAAGUAACCUUUCCAUGAAAUUCCUUGAAAAUUCCCCAGAACGUAAACUCACUUGACUUUUACCUCAUCCUCGCCCAGAGAAAAUCCCCACACAAUGAAUUAGGAAGAAUGGGAAAGGGACAUACAAUGAAUUUGAGUCAGAGCCUUUCUUUCAUCCACCUGGCAUGAUAUGGUCUGGGCUAGUCUGGGAAUAUUCCCUUUUCUCAGACCUUAUUUCAGCUCCUGGGGAGAUUUCUAACCAGUACCUGAGAGCACCUUGUUGUGUGUUAACAUUUAUUUAUUUAUUUAUUUAUUUAUUUAUUUACAGUAUUUAUAUUCCGCCCUUCUCACCCCGAAGGGGACUCAGGGAGGAUCACAUUACACAUAUAAGGCAAACAUUCAAUGCCUUAACAUAGAACAAAGACAGAGACAAACGCAGGCUCCGAGAUGGCCUCAAACUCAUGACCUCUUGGUCAGAGUGAUUUGUUGCAGCUGGCUGCAGCUGGCUGCUCACCAGCCUGCACCACAGCCUGGGCCUUCAUCCCAUUGUGUCCACCAGAACCAAACCAUUAAGCCCAUCAUGAACGCAUUGGAAAUUGCCACACCACAUUCCUUUCUCAUUGUGCCCCUCUCAUAGGUGAAGCAAUAAAUGGUCUAACUCUUAAAAAUAACCCAAUCACAGUUUAUUAAAUUUCUUGUCACUGCAAAGAUCCAACCAGAAAUUAUGAUGGACACAGCCCUGAAAGGAUCCUAGUCAGACACUUUUUGGACUAAUCAGGAGCUAGGUUUCUUGAAUAACUAUCAAAUGAAAUAAAAAUACCCUGUAUUAGCAGUUGCAGUAUGUCAGUACUUUGGAGUGCUUUCUCCGCUGACAUCCUCUCUGGCCAUUGAGAAUAAACAUCUGAUUUUGCCCUCCAUCCAUCCUGUCUGCUUUGGCCUUCUGAAAAGCUAUACAUGCCGGGCCUUCCAAACUCGCAAUUUUAGUGGAGCUGAAAUCACUAGGAGUUGAAAUCUCAAACACCUGGAGGACCAAAAGUUGGAACCAUUAGUCUAGGUCAGUGGUUCUCAACCUGUGGGUCCCCAGAUGUUUUAGCUUUAAACUCCCAGAAAUCCCAACAACUCUUAAAGUAGCUGGGAUUUCUGGGAGUUGUAGGCGAAAACGCCUGGGGACCCACAGGUUGAAAACUUCUGGUCUAGGGCUUUGUGGGAAGUUAAAGUGGUAGCCAAAAUGGUCAGUUUUGUGUUGCCAAGUCUUUGGUAGCUUCAGGAUUUUUGGUUUGUGUACUUUCUCAUGGAGGAGAGAAAAAACAGCCAGGUUUUUUUUUUUUACACUGGUGUCUAUCAAAGCAAGAAAGGCUUGAUCUUUCUUUUGUACUCAGUACCUACACUUUAAGUAGAUUUGACUUCUCAGCUGCAUCGGCUUUUAAGAACUAUCAUGUUUCUCCUGUGCAGGAAUCAGAGCUCAUUACUGGGUCGCUGUAAGCGUAAUAAAUAUGGAUGAGGCCUUGAUUAUAGAAAUGCAUGAAUAAUUGAAAUCAACAACUGCACUGCUGUGACCAGAGGGUGUUUUAUCAGUGGAUCUUUGACUACUAGGCGCGAUAGAUGUGGUGCCAGUUUGGAAAUUUGAAUUCAUCCAGAAGCUCUUCAUGAAAAUACUUCCACCGGCACCUCCAAAUCUGAUCUCCAUCAAGAGAGCAGAAUACCUUUAUAAAGUGAAUAGUGGAAGCACCAGGUUGAAAAUAAUAAACUUAGCAUGCCAGGUAUUGACAGUCUGAUUUGCCUUCAUCAGGAAUCUCCUGCAUGUAGAAAUCAGGUCACAAAGAAAGGUUCAGGGUUUUCUGUGGUAGUUUACAAUGGCUUAGUGCUGAACUUGUGAUUGUUGAAGAAAAUAAACACUCUGUAAUGAGUGAUUAAGCAAAAAGAAUGUUUAGUUUAUUGUUGCAGGAAAUCCAAUGUAGGAUGAUAACCUUACACUUAUCCACACUGCAGAAUUACUGCCAUGGCUCAAUGUUAUGGAACAUUGUGUUUUCUCUAGGUCCUGCAGCAUUAUGAAUCCCACUCUCUUCUCUUAAUGAGACUCAAAUGCAAGCAGCUCACAACCCUAAAAGUAGUUGAAGUUACAUUAAAAAACCUACAAUACAUCAACAUGGAAUUAAACAGAAGAGUUAAAAAUAAAUGUUUGCUAUUUGUUUCUCUCUUUUAUUACUCUCUCUUCCUCUCACAAGUUCUAGUCUGAAAUAAACAGUGUAACAUCCUCGAUGAGAGAAGCUGCUUGAUUAGAGCCUGCACUGGCUGACCUAGAGGUUCCUAAAGAGAAUAUUUUAAUUAAAUUUGCAAACAGUCAUAUCCUCAAAAGCCAAAUCCACAAAUGUGGAGGGCCAACUGCAGUUUCUGCAUGCAUUGGUGUUCUAUUUAAAUAGUUAUACAUCCCAGGAAACCUUUAGGAAAGGGUGGACAGCUGUCUCCAUUAGGAAGAAUUUUGAUGAAUGUUUUGCUAGAAUGUUGUUUGCAUUCUAGACAAUACAGAUUUUGCUGAAUGACAUGUCAUUUAAGCAAUGGUAGAAGAGUUUGUCAAAGUUUAUAUGGCAAGGGAAGAAGUCAUGGACUAAAUAUAAAGCUCCACUGCAGAACUUUCCAAACUGUGUCGCAACGCGUUGGUGUGUCAGCUGCAGUAUGUAAAUAUGUCACUUAAACUUAACAAGAAAUGAUAAAAAUCCUGAAAAUGUAUAUUAUUAUUUUACAAAUCUUUUAUUUUAAAAAAUAUACAGGAAAGUAUUUCCUGAGAUAUGUUAUGUCACCAUAAACUUGGUUAUUAAGAGUUCUUGUAUGGGUCCAUAUCUCUUAUGUGGUUGGUGGUUUAACCUUCGGUUUGCUAGUAAAACAGAAUGACUGUGUCACAAAAAGUGUGUUUGGAAAGUUCUGUUCUAUAGGAUGCAAAAGAAAGGGAGAAACUGGGUUUACAGGAUUUGAAAUUUUAAUUUUUCUGUAUGUUGUUUGGCUUGAUUAAAAUAAGAUGGUGGACCCUUGGUAUCCCCUGUGAUUUCAUUUUCCCCGUGGAUACCAAGAUCCAGGGAUGCUCAAGUCCCAUUAUGUACAAUACAUAAUAAAAUGGUUCCCUUCUAUAAAAUGGCAAAAUCAAAGAUAUAGUAGGUAAAGGUAAAGGUUUUCCCCCUGAUAUUAAAUCCAGUCAUGUCCGACUUUGCGAGUCAGUGCUCAUCUCCAUUUCUAAGCUAAAGAGCCAGCAUUGUCUGUAGACACCUUCAAGGUCAUGUGGCCGGGAUGACUGCAUGGAGCUCUGUUACUUUCCCACCGGAGCAGUACCUAUUGAUCUACUCACAUUUGCAUGUUUUCGAACUGCUAGGUUGGCAGAAGGUAGGGCUAACAGAGGCUGCUCACUCUGCUCCCCGGAUUCGAACCUGCAACCUUUUGGUCCGCAAGUUCAGCAGUUCAGCACUUUAACAAGCUGCGCCACCAGGGGCUCCACAAGGAUAUCUGUCUGUCUAUCUAUCUAUCUAUCUAUCUAUCGAUCUUUAUAUCUAUAUUCCAAUGAGGCAAAUUAAGUGGUUGCUUUGGGCACAAAACAUAUGGGGCCGCCGCAGUCGAGACUGCUUUUUCUGUUGAAUAAUAAUAAUAAUAAUAAUAAUAACUUUAUUCUUAUACCCCGCCCCAUCUCCCCGAAGGGACUUGGGGCGGCUUACAUGGGGCUAUGCCCAGACACAACAGCACAAAAUCAAAACAAAAGCAAUAAACAAAUCACCCAACAAUAAAACAUCAACAUGGGGGCGCAGUCGAGACUGCUUUUUCUGUUGAUUAAUAAUAAUAAUAAUAAUAAUAAUAAUAAUAAUAAUAAUAAUAACAACAACAACUUUAUUCUUAUACCCCGCCCCAUCUCCCCGAAGGGACUCGGGGCGGCUUACAUGGGGCUAUGCCCGGACACAACAGCACAAAAUCAAAACAAAAGCAAUAAACAAAUCACCCAACAAUAAAACAUCAACAUGGAUAAAAACAGUCAUAAAAAAGUCAAUAUACAAAAUAAUGUUAAAAACAUGAGUUGGAUCAAAAGAUCUGGGCAAGGUGCAGAAAAAAUGUCAAGUCAUCAGGGAGGGGUAAUUGUAAAACAUGAUGUUUUGGUGCUUAAUUUGUAAAAUCUUAAUGUAAUUUGAUGUUUAAUAGGCUUUUCCUUAAUCCCUCCUUAUUAUCCAACAUUUUCGCUUAUCCAACGCUUUUAUUUUUCAGUGAUUGGUUUGGGGGGGGGGAUGCCAAAAUUCUGUUUGCCUACACUUGAAAAAUACCUACCUCUGUCUAUAUCUAUAUAGCUAUAUCUAUACAUAUACACAGGAUAGUUGAAACGCAGAGAUCAAGCAUCUGUUGAUGCAGUGGACCAGCUAUAUGAGAUGAACACUGUGCUCUAAAGCAUCUAUUAAAUUAGUGACAGAGGCAAGUGUUGAUCUGGAAGCUUUUCUUGAUUCAUAAGUUAGAGUUUCAGCCCUUCUGCUGCCUCAUCUGUGGGAGGCAAGAAUGAAUGAGUGGACACAGUUUGGAUGGUGGACCCGCUCCUCUUCCCAGCUGCCUCUUUGCUGUGUACACUUAUCAUUAAAGCAAGUGCCUGGUAUUUCAGCUUAGAGAGCUCUACUCUGGAAUGACAACAGAGGCAAGGGAUUUGCAGGCAGCAAUAUAAGUGUGUGUUUGUGCGGGAGAGGAGUAUGUGUGUGCCUGCUUGUGCGUAAAACUGCCUCUAUAAAACAUCAUUUUGUGUCCAGCGGGAAUUAAUGCGCUGCAAAUAGCUGUAAUCAUCUUACGCAGUAUUAGGUAAAAAUCUAAUCUCUGUCGGUUUUUCUAAAACUCAGAUAAACCCUGCUGCUAAAGAAUGACACAUCUCUCCGCUCUUUUUGAAGCAUAGCACAGCGAUGUACUUUCUCAUGCUUGUGUUUUCCAAGUGGAACGCUGAAUUAGGUUACUAGCAUCUGUGUCAGCUUUGUCCUGGUACAUUAGUCUCCAGUUGAAAAACAAACAAACCCAAUCUAUGGAUGCUUGUGUUUUGUGGAAUCUCUAUUUUUUUUUGUUCUUUUAAGCAGAUAAAGUAAAUAAACUUUCAUUUGUCUGAAAUGUUUGGAGCCAGAAGUGAUUUUGGAUUUUAGACCAUGUUGUGUUUGGCAAUACCUGUAUUUUGUUUACAUACAUAAUGAGAAAUCUUGGAGAUGAAAACCAAGUGUAAACAACAACAUUCAUGUGUGUUUUAUAUGCACUUCACAGGCAUAGCUUGAAGGUAGAUUUAUGAAAUAUUUUAAAUUAUUUUGUGCAUGAAACAAAGUAUAAUGAGUACAAUGAACCAUCAGGAAGCGAAUGUUGACACUAUCUCAGUCACCCAGGACAAUUUCUCAAGCCAGCGUGGGAUGAAGUCCAUAGUCCUAUACCCUGUCUCUGACACACUUUGUCUAUUUGUACCUUCGGGCCCUAUGACUUGACUCAUGGUCGGUUUCAUAGGAAACCUGUAGGCACUCAUAGGCAAUACCUUUUGUAAAAUGAGACAUAAUAGACUUCACUCAUCUUUUAUUUCUUUAUGUGCAUCAGAGGCACAGCUCACCCUCUGUGCCAGUGAUGUGUCUUUUGCUGUGUGUUUUGAGGUUGGUCUUUUCAUCCUGCUCAAUUCUCCUUUGCCAAAAUGGUUGACGGUACUCGUCCAGUGGCAAAAAAAACCCCUGUAAGUAAAGCCACUGCUUUCCCUUAAUUGUUUCCUUUAAAAAAAAAGUUUAAAUGUAUGUAUGAAUUCGAGCAGAUUUGUAGGAAUAAAAGAGUUUUCAUUGUUUCUGCAUUGGGACAAAAGAACGGAGUUGUGCAAAUCUGCCAAUUUUUUUAAAAGGGGAAGACAGUGACAUAGAGGAACAUCAAACGGGUAGGGAGGAGUCAUCCCUCGGCUUGUGUGAUAAAUCAAAAACUCAUUAUUUGAUUAGAUAUGGAAUGGAGAGAAGCAGGUGUGAUGGGAAGGGUAUGUAUCCAGUCCUCAUCUAGACUUCUUAAACUGUCUACUCAAAAGGCGUUUUCUGUGGGUGUGUGAUAAGGUCCUCAGUUAACUCAGCAGGGCAAAGAGGAGGAGGAGACAGAGCCUUGCCCUUCCCAGCAGGCUUAGGCAAAAGCAAACUGCUGCAGCUUCUCCUAGUUUGUGUAUUCCUCCUCAUUAAGAACUUUUGCCAUCUUGGCCACACUUUGAAGUUGCUCUGUUUUCAUAUUGGGGGGGGGAUAUAAUCUACCUACACACAUAAUAAAUGUGAAAAUCUGUAUGUGUAUGUGGCACCGGUGUCCACUCACACAGACAGCCUCCGGCCUCCAGAAACAGGCUAUAGUUCCCAGUGCUGAGGAGCCGCCAAGUCACUCCCUCCCAGGACAUUGCAGGUUACAGCGAGCACAUCCCAGUGUCCCUUUCUCUCUUCAUUUGCAUGACCCCGCACACUUCCUCUCCCUUAACCCUUUCCUAUUCUUUUCUAUGGCACAAAGCAAACUGAGGAAUUGAUCAGCAACUGAACAUACUGGAGAGGUUUGGGGAGAAUUCACCAAGAUUUAUAGGAGUUGUACGGAAUGGGAUGUAUAGAUCACCUGCAAUCUAAAAGAACACUGAAUCCAGCAAGUGACAGAUCUGGACCAAACUUGGCACACAGGCCCAACAUGGCCCACUGUGAAUACUGGUGGACUUUGGGAGUGAUUGACCUUGGAUGCUGGGAAUUAUAGUUCACUCACAACUUCAGAGCACUCUGAAUCCAACAGAUGAUGGAAAAUAAUUAUCUUUUUAAUUUUUCCUUUAUAAUAGUGGUUUAUAGUGUGCUUAACCCCCAGCCCACUGCCCAAUCCUCUUUGGUCCUGAUGAACUCUUUUCAAAUAACCCACGCAUCGCUGGGUAGCCAGCGAUGCGUUGGGUGCUUGGGAACCCCCCUUCUUCUGGUGAAUCCAGCUUUCCGGAGCACAGUUGGCCCAGUUUUAUUUAAAAUUUAAUUAGAAUGGCUUUGAGACUGCAAUGUCUCACAAAAAUAGACAUGUGAAGAUGGAGCUCACUAGCUACAUGUUCCCCGCUGUUGUGGAAUGAUGGGAUGCUCAGAAGGAUCUUUUAUAGGGCUUCACUUGAGGCCAGUUUGUUAAGAAGAGAAGAGGGAAAAUGGAAGACAGCCAAUUGCAGGUGGGAAUUGCAGUCUAACAAAAUCUGAGUGGUCACACACACAUACACACACCUUUCCAGUCUAUAACUUAAACCAUGGAUCACUCUUGUUUUCCAGCUGAUAUGGUAUCCAACAGCAGUAUCUAAACUUCAAAGGAAUAUUUCAUCUUGUUUGCUGAAGUGGCUCUUUUCCUCCCCGAAUCCUUCCGAGAAUAUUAGGAAGGGGCCAUGGGCUGCUUAUCUAUUCUUUUCCAGCCUAGUUCUGCUUCUCCUGAUUAUCCCACGCAGCCAGAUUUCCUUUUUCUCUCUUUCCUUUUUCUGGAAACGAGUCCCUGUCAAAUGUGCAGGCAACGUCUGGCUCACCAGGGGCUGUGUUCUUGCAAGUCCCUGAUUUACAUCUGAAAACAUGUCAAGAAGAGGCAGAAUGGGGAAAACAUGCCUACUAGAAUGUAUAUUUUAUUUUUCUUUGGAGGCUGGAUUGUGUAAGAGAGGUUUGCAAGGAGGAGAAUGAAAACUGGGAGGCUUUUCAUAUUACAGUGUACCUUAAGGUCUCAUAGCUGCUGUGCAUUGGGGACAAGAUCACCUUGGGUUGUGUAUGUACUGCAUACAAAGUAAAGGUCCCCUUAUUUCAAUUUCCUGAAAUCAAUUUUGACUCCUUUGCUGGGAGUAUAAAAUGCUUAAUUUUGGCAAGGCUGUGUCCAUUAAUUCUUCCCUAUUGCAUGAUUAAUCUUGUAUCACUGUGAAAGGUAUGGAUGUCUUCCAACCAUCCCAGUUUGGUAGAGACCAUACUGAUUAUUCCUCUGUCAUCCCACUUUUUCAGUUGCUUUAAAAUGUCCCUGCUUUUGGUCUUCAGCUUCCUUCAAUUGCAUUCAAUUCAGCAAGGAGGAGAGGAGUGGGAAGAAUAAUUGCCAUUUCCAAUAGCCUCUCCUUUUCUUCAUUAAUAAUUUUUUGCUUUUUUAUGUUGUUUGGCCACACGUUCCCCAGUUUCCAUCUGUGAAAUAUGAAAUGUAUGAGUUUAUGGCCUUGACCAUAAUACAAAACUUGGGUCAGCUUUUAUUGUCGCUUUCCACUGAAUGUAGUCCUUUCUGGCACGUCCUGUGAAGCUGGGAAAAAAGAGAAGUCAUCAAGUAAUAUUUUUAGAUAAUCCUUUCUUGAAAUGCUGCUGAUGGCAUGAAAAUGACGUAAUAAAAGGACUAUAAAUCAUACCUAAACUUUGAUAAAUAAGUCUGGUGGGAUAAAUAAGGCUAGUGUGGCAUUUAAUCACAUGAGAAACUCUUCAUAAAGUGGAGGAGACAUAUACAAAAAUUAUUAUGUAUGUGAUCCUGAUACAAUCUGGAUCUCUGAAACUGGGGAAAGAUCUCAGUCUAGUGGGUAGAGAACAUGCUUUUACAUUAAAAAGCCCCAGGUUCAGUCCUUAAUAUCUCUCUAUGCUGUCACACCCAGGCACCUUUUAAAGCUUUAAGAUGUGCUUCUUCCUUUGCCCAGGUGAACUGCGGGGGCCUUACUUAGAAGUUCUGGAAAUCCCAGUAACCAAAGGCAUUUCAAGUUGAACAAUCAAACAAAAUUUUAUUUUCACAAAGUCCUUGGCGGACUUGGCACACGUAAUUAAGGUUGCAAAUAAAAAUAGCCAACUUAUAAAACCUUGCAGAUGUUCCUUUCUUGCUUUUCCCCUUUAGUUGCUGGGUUAACUUCCACCAAAGGCGAAGAGAUCCUGAGAUCAUCUACCCCAGCCCUGAGCUGCUAUCAAAAAAGCAGGUCUAUCUAUAUAUAUAAAAGAGUGAUGGCAUCAGGGCAGCGGACAAAACAACAAAACUACAGGCCCCCCCAACCUCGAAAUUUGACAACACAACCCAUCAUCCACGCCUCUAGGUUGAUACAACAAAAAUAAAAUAAAAAUAAAGUCCUAAUUACAGGGAGAGGAAUAAUAGUUUUUAUCCAAUUGCUGCCAGUUUGAAGGCUAAGCUCCGCCCACUUGGUCUCCUAGCAACCUACUCAGCCCAGGGGACAGGCAGACUUAGGCCUCACUUAGGCCUCUUCCACAGAUUAUCAGAUUUUAACUGGAUUAUAUGGCAGUGUAGACUCAAGGCCCUUCCACACAGCUAUAUAACCCAUUUAUAAUCUUAUAUUAUCUGCUUUGCACUGGAUUAUCUUGAGUCCACACUGCCAUAUAAUCCACUUCAGUGUGCAUACUAAACAUAAAGACAACCAUACAACAGACAUUCAAUACCACCACUACCUCAACAAUUUCUCACCAACACCACCAGACAACACCACAGCAACGUGUGGCCGGGCACAGCUAGUCACUAUAUAAGCUCAAAGCUAGUCUUUGAGGUGAAGUUGGUAGGGCUCCUUCCAGUGGCAAAGAAAUCCGGAGAUGUUCUCUGCCCCAGUGCUAAGCUACUAUUUUUAGAAAGAGCAGGUCUUUCCCUAUUUAUGCUCAGCACUGGUUUUAAAGGCAGGUCAGUACUUACGAUGGCUUUGUCAGAGUUGGCCUGGCUUGGUCACACAAACACAUCUAAGUUCUUUCUUCUUCAGUCUAGAAGGCAAGAGGCUUCUCAAAAUGGAGCCUUCUUUCCCCAGGAAAAGGGGUGGUCUCCAGAACAAUAAGAUACAUUUGCAGGCUGCAAGCAGAAAAGCUUUGCAAACAGGCUACAAACUCUGCUAAUGGCUAAACUAUUAGGUUGCUGCAGAAUCUGCAACAGCCCUGGAAGAAAUGUAAACAGGUGCUAUUCCUGCAACUAUGGGCAACUUGUAAAAUCAAAACCCUGGGAGAUGGAACACUCUCCAUUCCUACCAUGACUUGACAUUGUUGUUAUUGUGUUCCUUCAAGUAAUUUCUGAUCUAUGGUGAUCCAAAGGUGAUCCAAUCACAGGGUUUACUUGGCAUGAUUUGUUCAGAAGUGAUUUGCCAGUGCAUUCCUUUGAGGCUAAGAGAGUGUGACUUGCCCAAGGGCACCCAAUGGGUUUCAGGGCUGGUCAGGAAUUUGAAACCUGAUCAUCAGGAUCAUAGUCUAAAAUUCAAACCUUCUUUACCACACUGUAGAUGGCACCAAUGUACACUCAGUUUGAAGAGGUCUUUUAUUUAAUAACUAGUGUAUAUAUAUUUUGUGUUGCUUAGGUGUUGCUGUGAUUAAUGCCCACCUAGGGAAGGUUCAAUGCAGAUACAGAACUACUCAGAUCACUUUCAUCAAAGAGACCUCACAGAUACAGUGAGAAAUGUCAGUACCUUGUAUGGCUGAUAUCUAAUGAAAGCCCUGGACAUCAUAAUAGACAGACAGGCAGACAGACAGAAGAAGAGUCAUCUAAUGAUAAAUGUGUAAUAGUGCUCUUGACUAGUGUGCGAGAUUUAGUAAUAGUUUUGUCAUGUCCCAUUUUACAGUUUUUUAAAAUAAAUAUCCCCCGAAUACAUUAAUAAUUGCUCCAUCUGACAAUAUUACUCCAGGAAACAAGAUGAACAUUUUUUAACAAUCCCACUUUUAGAUAUAGUUUAAAAUAGCUGAAGUGUGUUAAUUAUAGCAAAAACGAAAAGAAAGAAGUAAAAAAUGCGUGCAUUAGCUCACCUACGGUACCUAUCUUCAUAAAUAUCUUCAAUACUGCCAGGAUAAUUGGUUCAACCCACCACAUUUUCUGAUGCAGUUGUAAUGUGAAUUGCAUUAUAAUGUGAGUUGCUUGCACCCUUAUAAUACAUUGUUCAAGAACUUAACUAUUACAGUAGAGUUUCACUUAUCCAACAUAAAUGGGCCGGCAGAACGUUGGAUAAGUGAAUAUGUUGGAUAAUAAGGAGGGAUGAAAGAAAAGCCUAUUAAACAUCAAAUUAGGUUAUGAUUUUACAAAUUAAGCACCAAAACACCAUGUUAUACAACAAAUUUGACAGAAAAAGUAGUUCAAUACGCAGUAAUGCUAUGUAAUAAUUACUGUAUUUACGAAUUUAGCACCAAAAUAUCACGAUGUUUUGAAAACAUUGACUACAAAAAUACGUUGGAUAAUCCAGAAUGUUGGAUAAGUGAGUGUUGGAUAAGUGAGACUCUACUGUAUAUUGUUUCUGUACUCUUAGCAACAGUUGAUCAGUAGGAAUAGGCUAGGUUUUGUCACGCGCUGGGCCUGUAACUAUUGUCUUUUGUAUAGGACAUAUACUUUAUGCCCAGCGGGAAGCCAGGGCACCUAAAGAGAGGUUCUUGAGGAUUUCCCUGAAAAGGAUGGCCUUUUGAGUCUUUAAUGAAAUAACAAAAUCUUUAUUGAUGAACAAAUAAUAAAUCUUCAAGGAGUCAAAUAACACUUCAAGGUUUCCUUAAUAAACUGUUGGCUUUUCAAUCUUGUCCUCAGGGGACGGGCAAUUGGCUUGGGAUAACUAUAUUUUCUCUGUAAGAAGAAAAUCCCCUUAUAACCUCUCCCAGGCUGUCUAUCAUAUGAGCCUAGCUGAUGUGGGACCUACUACCGAUUCCAAAUGCGUCUGGGCAUCGAGUAGAUCUACCAGCCAAGGUUUGCAGAUGUUUCAGCUGGGGUUCCGUGAAUCUGUGAUGCUGUUCUCUCGCCGAGGUUUCUUUGGAAACUUUAGGGCUGUUUCCCUCAGGAGCUGUGAGGCUGAGAGGCUGUAAGCUCUCAGCCAGAGCUUUUGGGACCUUUUCCCCCUGGAAUUUCUGUUUCUGUUUUCUUGGAUGUUCUAUAUCCCCGGAUGUUAUUGAGAUAUGAAGCUUUUUUAUGGGAAGAGCUGGUCUACGUCCUAUAGCUUAGCUUCCUUAAGUGAGACUGACUUAAAAAUGGCUCCUUCUCUCCCAGAGCCCUGAACAAGGGGUGGAACCAAACUUAAUAAUGAUUGACAGGCGGCCUGUCCUAUGACUGCAAACAUUAGCAGCAAUUACAGGGAGCGGUCAACCCCCUGUUUAAGAAACUUCAUUGGCUGACGUUCAAUUUCCAAUUCCAAUUCAAGGUGUAGGUUAUCACAAAGCCCUGAAUAGUUCGGGAUCCGUCUAUGUUCCCCCUACCAACCUGCGCGAUCCCUUCGGGAGAGGCCCUCCUCUCCCUCCCACCUCUGUCACAAGCACGGUUGUGAGGACAAGGGUGAGGGCCUUCUCCGUGGUGGCCCCUCAGCUCUGGAACUCGCUCCCCAGAGAGAUUAGGCAAGCACCCACUAUGGCAGCCUUUAGGAAAAGUUUAAAAACUUGUCUUUUCCGGUGUGCUUUUGAAGAAUGAAUAAUUAAUUUCCAUGUCAGGUCCCUUCUCAGUAUCAAUUGUUGUUCUGAUGCACUUUAUCUUAUCCCUUAGGUAAGAAUAACCUCAUUGUUUAUCGCACCCGAGUUUCCCACUAAAUGCAGCACUUUACCUCAUCCAUGGAUUUUACAAUUUUCACUCCUCGCACUUUGGCCCAGCUUGCCCUCGAUUAAUUCUGUUUUUAUACGCUUUUUUAUUAUGUCAUUGUUACUAUUUUAUUGUUUUACCAUGUUAUUGUAUAAGCAUUUUACUUGACGUUGUUGCGUGUCUUGUAUGCAUUUUAUUUUGUUUUAUUGUAAUUGCUUGGACUUGGCCCCAUGUUAGCCGCCCUGAGUCCCUUCGGGGUACAAAAAUAAAGGUAUUAUUAUUAUUAUUAUUAUUAUUAUUAUUAUUAUUAUUAUUAUUAGUAUGACAAAGCAAACAAGAUAGAUAUGCUGGAUUUCGUUUCACAAAAUCACAAGUCGAACACUUCCCAAGUGUCUAGGACUGUGUGAUGUAUUUUCGGAUGAUGUGCGCAAAUCCCAGUAGGGUGGCCUUUUACAGUUGGCAGAUCGUAAUUUUGUCAAUUUCUAUUGUUUCCAAAUGCCGGCUGAGAUCUUUUGGCACGGCACCCAAUGUGUCCAUCACCACCAGGACCACCUGCACUUGUUUCUGCCAGAGUCUUUGAAGUUCAAUCUUGAGGUCCUGAUAGCGGCUGAGUUUUUCCUGUUGUUUUUCGUCAAUGCGACUGUCACCUGGGAUGGCGACAUCAAUUAUCCAAACCUUUUUCUUUUCCACAACUGUGAUGUCUGGUGUGUUGUGUUCCAGAACUUUGUCAGUCUGGAUUCGGAAGUCCCACAGUAUCUUUGCAUUCUCAUUUUCCAAUACUUUUGCAGGUUUGUGAUUCCCACCAGUUCUUUACUGCUGGUAGGUGGUACUUGAGGCAUAAGUUACAAUGAAUCAUUUGGGCCACAUAGUUGUGCUUCUGUUUGUAGCCUGUCUGUGCGAUUUUCUUAUAGCAGCUGAGGAUAUGAUCAAUGGUUUUGUCGGUUUCCUUGCACAGUCUGCAUUUUGGAUCAUUAGCUGAUUUUUCGAUCUUGGCCUUAAUUGCAUUUGUUCUGAUGGCUUGCUCCUGGGCUGCAAGGAUCAGGCCUUCUGGCUCCUUCUUCAGGGUCCCAUUCAUGAGCCAUAGCCAGGUCUCCUCCUUAUCAGCUUUUCCUUCAAUUUUGUCAAGAAACUUUCCAUGCAUCAUCAUCAUCAUCAUCAUCAUCAUCAUCAUCAUCAUCAUCAUCAUCAUCAUCAUCAUCAUCGCUAUUUUAAAAAGGAUAAAUAAUUGAAAUCCUGGAAGGUUGAGUUAGAAGCUGGAGGAGGCAAUCUUAAUGUGAUGGGAGUGAGUAAAUUCUUCGUCUUCUUUAAAGACAGAACCCCACGCAACUCCACCCUUUCCCCCGCUUCCCCUCGUUUUCUCCAGCUCAAUGUGAUGAAGUCUUUAGGCAGUGAUAUUCUUUGUUGAAUCAAUGCACCUUGAGUGUGUUCUUCUUUUCAUUCUGCCUUCCAUUUUACCAAGCACUGUCAUCUUUUCCAAAAGGUCAGGAUAUGUCCAAAGUAUGGCUGCCUCAGUUUAGUGAUUUUUGCUUUCGGGUCAGAGUUUGGCAUUCUACAGUAUCUGUAGGACUUUCCUGCUGCACCACAUUUGAAAUGAAUUGAUCCCUCCCAGUCAACUUUCUUCAUGAUCUAACGUUCACAACCAUACAUCACAAUCUAAAAUAUUAUGUUAUGGAUGAUCCUGUCUUUAGUGGUAUACCAAGGCCAGGAAACAGAAGUUUACUAGAACUUCACUGAACUUACAGCUAAGAUUUAAGCUGUGAUGCUAUGUCAGCAAUCUCUUUCUUCCUUCCUCUUCUUUCUUCGUUCUGUAACAACUUCCCUUAGGGGGUGUCAUUAAGAUCAAGAUAUUUUGUCUGUUCUGCCCAUGCUUUUUAAAUAAUACAGUGGCCUAGGGUAUGAUUUCUUGCCUUUCUACCUAGUUGAUUUCCUAAAGAAUACUGAUGAUUAGAGUGACAUCUUGUGGUAAAAUGCAUUGGGAAAUAUCCUUGAGUAGCUGCAUAGAUCAGGUUUAUCCAAAUCAUUUGAGCCAUGGAUAACCUAAACCAGGGGUCCUCAAACUUUUAAAGCAGAGGGCCGGUCCACAAUCCUUCAGACUGUUGAGGGGCCGAAUUAUCAUUUGGGGGAAAAAACCGAACCAAUUCCUAUGCACACUGCACAUAUCUUAUAUGUAGUGCAAAACAACAAUAAUAACAAUGAAAGAACAAUACAAUAUUUAAAAAUGAAAAUAAUUUUAACUAACAUAAACCUAUCAGGAUUUCAAUAGGAAGUGUGGGCCUGCUUCUGGCCAAUGAGAUAGUCAGGUUAAUUAGGAUUGUUGUUGUUGUUGUGUGUCUUCAAGUCAUUUCAGACUUUGGGUGAGCCUAAGUCCAAAAUUAAUUAUUUAUUCAUUUACUACAUUUAUUUACUACAUUUAUAUCCCGCCCUUCUCACCCCGAAGGGAACUCAGAGCAGCUGUAUGUACAUACAAUAUAUUAUAUUAUUAGCAUAGCACAAUAUUGGCAUUAUACUAUAUUGAACUAUACCACUAUACUGUAAUAUUAUAUGUAAUAUAUAACAUAUAAUUAAUAUUAUUAUAUGAUAUUAUUGUUAGUAUUGUAUUGUAUAAAAUGAUAAUAUUAUUAUCAGUAUUAUAUGUAUAUACAAUAUAUUAUAUUAUUAAAAUGGAUAUAAAAAUAUUAUAUUAUAAAUGAGGGCGAGGGCCAGGUAAAUUACCUUGGAGGGCCGCAUCCGGCCCCCGGGCCUUAGUUUGGGGACCCCUGACCUAAAUGCUCCAGAUGUUGGAAACUAAGCAGAGUCGGCCCUGGUAAGUACUUGGCUGGAAUAUCACCAUUGGUGAUAUAGCCUAUAUUUCACAGAAUCAUAGAGUUCGAAGAGAUUACAAGGGCCAUUCAGUACAAUCUCCUGCUGUAAAGGAAAGUACAGUCAUGGCACUCCUGACAGAUGGCAAUCCAGCAUAUCCCACUGUCAAACAGCUGUUACUGUCGGGCAGUUCUUCAUAAUGUUUAGGUGGAAUCCCUUUUCUGGUUGGAUGAAUCUGUUGCUCUGUCUCCUAUUUUCAGAGGAAGGCACUGGCAAAACUACCUGUGAAUGUUCAUAUCCUUAAAAAGUCCUAUGUCAACAAAAUAUCUUGAAGGUGCAUACUCAAACACACUCUUGGUUGGUACUUAGAUGGGAGACCAUAGAUGAAUACCAGGUACUGUUAGCUAUAUUUUUGAUGAAGGCAAUGGCAAAGUCCCCUGAUGCAUGGGCUCUCCAUAAAUUAUCAGGCUCAUAUUACUACAACAACAACAACAACAACAACAACAACAACAACAAUAAUAAUAAUAAUAAUAAUAAUAACUUUAUUUAUAUCCCACCACCAUCUCCCCAACGGGGACUCGGGGCGGCUUACAUGGGGCUACAUCAGGUUGAGCAUCCCUUAUCCAAAAAGUGUUUGGGAUUAUGGAUUUUUCAGGUUUUGGAAUAUUUAUAUUAGCAUACAUGUUCAUAAUAAGAUCUAUUGGAUGUGGAACCCAAGUCUAAACACAACAUUCAUUUAUGGCUCCUAUAUAUCUUAUACACAUAAACCAAAGGUCAUUUUGCACACAAUAUUUUUAAAUUUUGGGCAUGAAUCAAAGUUUAUGUACAUUGAACCAUCAGAAAGGGCUCACUCAUUCAUGUGGACAAUUUUGGAUUUUGGAGUACAGGUAGACUGAAUUGCAUUGGUGGUUGUUUGAUAUUAUUACUGUUGUAUAAACCUUUUUUUAACUUCUGUUUUAUCAUCUUCUUGUGUUUUAAACUGUGUAUAUUGUUAAUAUAUUUGCGCUGUUACUUUUGUAACAUUGUGAGCCUCCCCGAGUCCCCACGGGGAGAUGGUGGCGGGGUAUAAAUAAAGUUUAUUAUUAUUAUUAUUAUUAUUAUUAUUAGUCCCCAAAUUACAAACAUCUGACUUACAGAUGAGUCCCAUUUGUAGGUGAAAAGUGGGAUAAAAGUAAAUAAAUAAUAAAAGGACUCACAGUUAAGAACAUGGGUGAGACAAUGGGAAGUGAUAGUAAUCUACCCCUAGGAAAAAAAAUUCACUCCUGAAAGAAUUGUUAUCAUUGAGAAAAGGGGUCUCUACUGAAGCUUUAUCUUCACACAAGCCAAAUUUUUCAAAAUCUAAUUAUCACAGGGACAUAAAGUGAUGUGAAAUCUUCUGAACAGGGGCACAGACAGCAAAACAAACACCACUUCCCUAUGCUACCCAAAGCUAAAAGAUAUAUAAAAGUGCCAGAUUUAGCACAGCGUGUUAAUCACCAGCUGCAGCUGCAGUAAAUCUUGCUUGCCAACGGAAGGUUGACAGUUUGAAGUUGGGUCAGGGUGAGCUCCUGACCUUCAGCCCAGCUCCUCCCCACUGUCAGGACCCAGGCUGCAGAGCACCAAUAACCAUGCGCAGAGACCAGAAUCUAUCUAAUAUCUUUAUUAAAGGAAUAUAUAAAGUCAAUAAAAACAAGUGAAGAAUAUAGUUCAGAAGUAGACCUUUCAGGAAAGGUCAAAUAUAGUCCAGGAAAACAAUGUCCAAUAUGUGAUAUUAGAGUCCAAAGUUAUAAUCCAAUAACCGAAACACACACUUUGCCAAGCAAAGUGUGGGGAAAUGACAGGGUCCUUUAGUCCAAUGGAGCUUGACAACAAGGCUGGAAGCAAACUAGAUUCUUGGCAAACAAGGCUUGAUACGUGGCAACAAGAGGCAAGAAGCAAGAACGAGGUCCGUGGCAAGAUCCGGGGACAAGGCAGGCUUGGAACUAGAACAAGGUCUGUGGCAAGGUCCGGGAAACAGGGAACUGGAGUAGCGUAGUCCACACACGAUCUCACUCCCGAAGCUGACGAAUUGACUCCGCAAGGAUUUCCUUGCGGGUAAACACCUAUAUAGGAUCUUGUUUUCCCGCCAAGGAACACUUUCCCUGGGGAACAAGAAACGAAACCCAUACUGUGUCCAGAUGCAUGACUCCUUAAGAUUUCCCAAGGGAAACAGGCUUAAUCAGCUAAUUGUCUGGCAGCAAUCCUGGCGCUUCUGCGAUUCGCCUCCCUAGCGCCUCUAUCUCGAUUAUAAUAAUCCCGGCGAGAAAAUGGGGGAGAUUUCUGCUCAAGGCUUGUUUGGCUGACUUCUUGUGGGCAAACAUCUUGCAGGUGCAAGGGCUCCAAUUCUGGCUGAAACGGUGGGAAACCCAAGUUUUCCUCUUCAUCUGCCACAAUAGUACUAGGAACGGGACUACAUGGCCCAUGAGACAUCACACCCACCUAGAAGAUUGAAAACAGCAUUGUGAGUAGAUAAAUAGGAACUGCAUUAAAGUGGAGAGGUAUUUUAGGAACAGUGGCAUUUCAAUCAGAAAAAGAAGGAAAAGUGUAUGUACAAAGAAUGCUAUUUGGCAAGGAGAUGGAGAAGCAGCACCCUCCUGUGGCCAGAACUGAGCACAGCCUCCAAAGAUGCCGAAAAGAUGGGAAAAAGCCUAUAGAAUACCUCUAUCUGUUGUCUGUCUUAUUGUAUAAUUGGCAUAGAAUGUUUGCCAUAUAUUUGUUCUGUUAUCUGCCCUUUGGGGUGAGAAGGGCGGAAUAUAAAUACUGUAAAUAAAUAAACAAACAAACAAACAUAUGUUUGCCUGGAGUUACACUUAAAAAUGUAUCUGUUCGAACUUACUGUACAUACAAAUUCAACUGUAGACAAACCUACAGAACCAACCUUGUUUGUAACAUGGGGACUGCCUGUAUUUCAGAUUUCAGAAUUCCAGUUAAUGUAUACUUAAGCUGUACUAUGUAUACAACUCUAUUGUGCUUUCAAAAUGUUGUUGUUUAUUUGUUAAGUUGUUUCUGACUCUUCGUAACUUCACGGACCAGCCCACACCAGAGCUCUCUGUCAGCCGUUGUCACCCCCAAGUCCUUCAAGGCCAAGCCAAAAUAGGUUUCAAAAUAGUGAGACAUUAUUUGACCUGUGGACAGAAGUUCUCUAUUUCGAAUGAUAGGGAUGGCCUUCAUAAAAUAGGGUAGGCGGACUAUACAUGGCAGUCAAAGGUUACUCAAUGUGCUUAAUGGUUGAGAUAACAGCUGAACCCACAUUUCAACAGCUUUUUUCUUGUCUCUCUGAGCACUUGCUUCUUUUGGCUGGCUUCUGUUGAGAAUCUCUGAUUUGAUUGAGCAGGACAUCUCUUACAUGUUUCUGAAUUCUUUAGAUCUGGGCAUGAAAAAUAAAUGUGCCAGAUAUAACUGGAAAGAAGCAAUUGCUUUUCUAAAUGUCUUUAUUAAUGGCAACUUUAAGAGGAAAUAGCGCAGGAGGAAAUUCUGUGAAUGUUUUAUACACCUCUGAGGUUAUAAAUUAAUGUGUGUUUACAGAGAGCUUUUCAAUACAGUUUUAAAUACAGAAAACACCAUGCAUUUGAUAAAGACGGGAGAGAAGAAUGCCUAGAACAGUGAUAGUAAUAUUUUAAUAUCCUCUAUGACUAGCAGAGAUAAUCUGAAGGGACAAGUAAUUGCAGAAAUGUAGGUGCCCUACUUAACAUGAAAAGAUUCUUCCCAUAAUGAGUUGCAGGCCUUUUUUGCUUUCAUAAGGCACAACAAACACUCUUACAGUGCAAUCCAAAAAUCCUAUCUAGAGAUGCCAUUAGAUUUGCAUUCAUCUUCUGUUUGGUAAUCUCCCUCCUUCCUGAAUGUCUCUUUUAUUCCUUCUUGACAAUUGCAAAGGAAAUGUUAUUUGCUGGUACUCCUUUCAUUUAAAAAACUCUGUAAUUUCUCAUCAGCACCGUAAUUAGAAGACAACAGUAGGAUAAUUAUUUCUUAUAUUUUUGCCAAUGGAGAUUUGAAGUAUCUCAACUGAUUUUGUGUAAGCAGGUGCGCUUUUGAAUUAAAAUCGCCAACUGCUCAGAAAACUCUGCUCUCAUAACUGCAGUUCAACAUGCCUGAAUCUGAAUUGCUGAUGCUCUUCAAAAAAUAGAAGAAUGAACUCUUGGUCAUUAGCGGUCUAAACUAAUUGUCCUGGUAAUCUCUUACAGAUGUGGACAUUCCUCUGUGGCAGUGAUUGGACAUUUUUACUCCAUUUGGAACAAAUAUGCAGUUCAACAUUGGGGAAAUUGGUUUUCACAUGCCAUCCUGUUACACAUACAGAAACAUAUUGUUCAUGAUGUCUUGGUUCAGUUGCAUAGCUUUGCCAUUCAACAUAAGGGUUGCUUAAUACAAUCAAAGUGUAACUCUACAUAUGGAGAUGUAUGCUAUGUACAACCAAUAUAAGAUCUUAUCUGUAGUUAGUUUUAGCCAGAACUGAUGUGGGGAUUAUAGAUAAACUCAGAGAAAAUAUGGAAAUACAAAGGAUGUGACUUGCAGGUGAUAAGGUGUUACCAUGUUUCCCCAAAAAGAAGCUGCCCUGAAACCCAGACUUUAACCCUGCUAAGGUCUUGUGAACUCAGAACUGAGAUCUCCUUGAUUUGGUCUAUCCAUCUGGAAUGUGGUCUUCCUCUUUUACGACUGCCCUCCACUUUACUGAACAUUAUAAUCUUUUUUAGUAAGUUAUGUCAUAUCAUGAGAUCUCGAAAAUAGGGUAGCUGUUAGGGAUUCCUCUUCUUCAGAAGAGGAAGGAGAGCAGGAAAGUGUUCAUGAGUCUGAGGGUGAGUUGGAAUCUGAGGAGAAGAUUUUGCAAGUACCCGCAUUUCAGGAGAAGCGAAAGGAAACAGAACAGAGACGUUGUUCAGCUAGAAUAGCUGCCAGAAAUGCAGCUGAGUAAUUGGGAACUGCCCUAGCAGCUGUGAGGGACUCAGGGCUAUAAAGCAGAAGCAGGUGCAGCCAGCAUUUGCUGGUAACAAACUGACUCUAAUGCCUAAGCCUUUGCUCCCCUUGUGCCUGCUUUGAGUCUGCAUCUGGGAUACUGCUCCUAAGGAUUUAUUGCUGCUUCUUUGUCUGAAGUAAGACUGCUAUUUGAUUUGGGAGUUUAUCGGAGACUAAGAACUGUGUUUGCCCUAAGACUUCCUUGCUUCCUUUUGCAUUAUCCCACUGAGUGUGCUGUUCUUUAUGUUUUUCUGAAGUAAAGCAGUUUUCAUUUACUUACCACAGUGUUUUAAGCCUGUUCUUGAAAGACAAAACAGGACAGUAGCCUCAGGUUAGCUAUUUUGGCCUCUAGGGAAUUUGGGCUUCAUUUGCCUUUGCUGUUGUUAUUGUUUGCUUUCAAGUCAUUUCUGACUUACAGUGACCCUAAGGUGAAGCUGUCAUGGGGGUUUUUUUGGGUAGAAUUUGUUCAGAAGAGGUUUGCCCUUAUGUCUCUUUGAGGUGUGAGUGACUUGCCUGAGGUUAUCUAGUGGUUUUUCAUGACUGAGCAGGAAUUCAAACUUUGGCCUCCAGAGUCAUAAUUUCAAACUACUACACCACGUUUGCUCCUAUGACCCAUUUAUGCAUAAUUUUGGUGGUCUUUGCAUUUUUGCAGCACUACUUUUCAAAUGACUUCAAACCCUACAUUAAGUUAUAUUAUGCUUUUGUCAGAUUAAAGAUCACAUGGAAGAAAAGAUAGAUAUGUUUGUGUAACCUCCACAUCUAUUACUGGUACAGCAUAUUUUAUAAGAAACCGAGCUUUAGAUUGGGAAAUCCUUGGUUCCAAGGCCAUGUCUAUCAUUAAACCUUCUUCAAGGACUAUGAGUAGAUAAUAUGCUUGUUGUCUUCAGAACAGUUGAAACCAGAUUACAAAUGGUAAAUGUUACUAAGUGAUAUGAAUAUAUAUUAUUAUGUUUAUUUAUACUCCGCUUUUUCUCUCCACAAGGAGACUCAAAGCAGUUUAGACUAGAUUGUGAAGUCAGAAGUAUUGUGCUCCAAAGCUCUUUUCAGUCUGAAUUCGGAAGUCCCAGAGUAGUUUGAUGUGCUCAUUUUCAGUAACUUUUUCAGGCUUGUGAUCCUGUCACAGGCAGAUGGUAUUUGUGGCAUAAGUUCCAAUGGAUGAUGAUGAUGGUGAUGGUGAUGAUGAUGAUGAUGGUGAUGAUUAUUAUUAUUAUUAUCAUCAUCUGUACUGUGGUCUUCUUUUUCUAAUGCCUUCUAGCUUUCCAAGCACUGUUAUCUUUUCUAGGAAGUCAUAUCUUCUCACAACAUGGCCAAAGUAUGAUGUUCUCUAUUCCUCUUGGCUUCUAUUGAGAGCACAGGCUUGAUUUGUAGGAUUCAUUGAUUUGCUUUUUUCGCAGAACAUGGUAACUUUUCUCUAACACUAUUUUAAAUGAGCCUACUUUCUUCCUUGUGUUGACCCUGUUUUCCUUCCACAACCAAAUCCUAUUACCACUUUAUCUGCUUGAUUUGAGUGUCAUUUUAUGACAGGAAGACAAGAUAUAAAUUGCAUAAAUGAAAAUAAAUGAAUAAUUGAAUGGAUGAAUAUAACAGUCGUAUAUAAUUCUUCUCCUAGGAAGUCAGUCUUUAAUUGGACUCAAGGGAGCCUUGAAGAUACAUGCAUACACUAUAGAUAACAUUUUGCCCCUGGAAUUUUACUGUAAAAUAAUGAAAAAAGGCAUUCAAGAUGGCCAUAACCUUCUCCAACAGCAUGGCAGCAUUUAAUGAUGAAAUUGCAAGAUUUGAACCUGUGAGAGCUCAAACAGACACAUUGUGGGUUUUGUAAUAGGAUAGACUAUGAAAUGGAUCAGUUAAAACGCAAAAGAUGAAUCAGCCAUGAAUUCUUUAAUCACUUGAAAGCCCCAAAGGUGGGCUUUUAAUUGCAAAGCUUAUGAGAAUAUACAGUAUGUGAAAAAAUAUGAAAGGAGCUCCAAUUAACAACAUUGUAAUUGCCUUGUAAUUGCCAAGACAGACCAAAAGAUUGUGCUUAUAGGAUUUCAUAAAAGAAAAGGAAGACAUGUUCUACCAAUUAUUUUUAGAUAUGGGAUUGUGUGGUUGUUUUAUUUUAAGCCCAUGAUAUUUUCACUCUUAUGAGGAAUCGGGUGAGAAUUUUCUUUGGAAACUCAUCCAUGAUUAAUGCAUCACUUAUAUGGAUUCUGUCUUUUAUUUUUAUUUUUGAAGCAAUGAUAAAUGAAUAGCUUUUGCAUAUCCCAUCCUCAAAUGUAUUCACUAACAAAAAAAUACAGUCUGAAUGGCAUUAAAGAAAAGUCAGAACUAUUUUGUAACAAUGAUGUAGGACUUCAUCACACGCAAUAAAACUAGCAUUUCUACUCAUUGAAGAAGCGGCUACCGAUGGAGCCCAUAACCUGAUGCAAUCUUGUACUGUAGGUUUCAACUAUUUUGCUGUUUCUAAAGUGUGGUUUUUCCUGAUGAUUCCUAAGUCUAUUGGUAAUUGACUUUAUUUUAGAUUCCCCACAUAGAAAUGGGUAAAAACGUCUAAUUUCACAAGUGUCCACUUGUAAACAUAAUAAUUAUAUUGUUCUAGAGGGAGGAGCUGAGAUGGGCAGUAUAGAUUCCUAUCUUCCACCAUUAUCUUUUUUGGAACCGAGGAGGAAAGAAUGGUAAUUUAUAUAUUUUUAAAAUGUGAACUUGCAUUAAAAAGUAUUUUUGCAAGAAAAAAACAGGAUUUUUUCUAUCAAAAGAAAAUUGGGGAGGAGACAGUGUGAGGAAAAAUAUCUCUCCCAUGUGAUGGGAAGGCAAACAGAUAAUUUGAAAAGAAAGCAGAAUGAGGGAAAAUAUGUGAUGUGGAUAGGAAAAUCAUCCAUUCAAUUUUCAAACAGGGACGUUGAAAAGCUUAAGGGAAAAACAACGAUCGAUCCUCAACACUUUACUUAUUGUGUGGGAUGAAGUCGGUAGGAAAGUGUUGGUAUGAAAACUGUAAUUCUAAUGCCAGCUAAAAUUAAAUGAAAUAGAAGUGGUAUAAAAGUUUUAGGGAAAGGCAGAACUAGAUACCAACUUCAGAUGUUGACAGAAAAAAGAUGGAACAAGGUUGAUAUCAUGAGUCCUUCAUAUGAUGUAGGACCAUAACUCCUUGUACUCUCCUGUGGCUCCUGGGACAUAUAAGACAUUAUCCUCUGCUGUCCCUCGCCCCCAUUUCUAGACACUUUGAAAACAGAGAGACAAUGAUGGAUGAUGGAUGAGGACUUCUCCCUUCCCAUGACGCAGGAGGACCUCCUGUCUGCGCCUCUUCACAAAUAGUUAGGAAACUGCCUCAAAAGUCCUAGAGACAUUUAUGGAGGUGGGAGUGGAGAAGAUGGACAAAGAUUGUCUUCUGAGGCCAGGAAUCGGUAUGUAACUGGAGAAAACAGUAAAAAUCAUUUGGGAUGGGAACUGUCAAAUUUGUCCAUGUUGAAUUGCUUUAGUGACAUGGCGUAAGGGGCAUUCCUAUGGGUGAUCCCCUGCAAAGCAUUGACAUUUCUCUCCCAAAAUCCUGCUUCAUGAGUGUGACAUGGUAAUUUUUUAAAUUAAUGUAAUAAUUCAAAAUACCAAAAUUUCAAAAUAUCUUUCUUUUUCCUAGCUUUUUAAGUUUUGAACUUCCUCAAUGAAGAGCCCAAUGUCCACAUCAUGGGGCCUAGUGAAGAUCAGUGCCUGGGGUCUACUCCAAAGCAACAGGAUUGGAGGGGAAAGCCCAGUAUCCCCACAGUUUUUUCCCCCAAGGUUUUGGAAUGGACAGGAACUGUGCUCGCUCAUGUGAUAAUCUGAACGGACUGCAUAGGAUGGAUUAUACAAGAGAAAGGGAUCUUUCAACUUCUUUACACAUGUGGCCAAGCAAUACCAGAGUGAGAUCAAAGUUGCAAACUUAGAGAGAGUGCAGCAAUUUGCUUUUGCCUGAGCCCACUGGGAAGGGCAAAAUUCACCUCCCCACUUUAUGUCUUUGUGAAUUAACUAAAUGCCAAGUAUUUUUGCACUUUCAACUCAGGGCCCAUCCAGACAGGCCCUAUAUCCCAGAAUCUGAUCCCAGGGUUUCUGUUUUAAACUGGAUUAUAUGAGUCCACAUUUCUAGAUAAUCUGGGAUAAACAGAAAACCUGGGAUCAGAUCCUGGGAUAUGGAGCCUGGCUGGAAGGGCCCUCAGUUUGCCGCAACUGAAAUUAGGUAAAGACAAAGGAAGAAAAUGGAGGGAGAGAGAGAAACUGGGGGCAUUUUUUUUUAAAAAAGUAGAAAAAACGGGAUGACAGAGUCUGCCUGCCCAGUCAGGAGAAUUGAAAGCCAUGCACUAUGUUGAGGUUUGUAAAGACACCAUUAUGGAUGGGUUAACUGGAAAAGUACGUGUAAGAAACUGAUUGGCUGAACCUGCGAACAGCUAGGAAUCUGAUUGGUCAAUUUCUCUUCCAUGCUACUGGGGAACCAGUUUGAGCAGGUUUUGCUCAAACAGUAAGUCUGUGUAUGCUGACUGGAAACAGCCAGGAGAGAAGAUAGCUGCCGGCUCUCAGUGGCCCUGUUAUUUCUAAGGCACUGAGGCAAUUUUAUUUAUUCAUGUAUUUAUUUACAACAUUUAUACCCCGCUCUUCUCACCGAGGGGACUCAGGGUGGCUUAUAGAAAUUGGCAAAAUUUAAUGCCCAAAAAUACAAUCAUAAAAUCAAAACAAUACAUAUAGAUCAGUUAAUAAUAAUAUUAAAAUACAUUAUAAAACCUUAAAAACAUAUAUAUAGUUAAAUCCAUUCAUCCGAAACCUCCGAAAUUUUAUGAACUUUAAGAGGACUAUUUAUUCCUACUCUUCUCUGUAAGCAAUCAGGGAGACUAUUGUAAAUAUUAUUGCUCUGUUUGAUUAUUUUGAAGUCAGUAAAGUUCCUGUUAAUUGUUCUACAAAGCUGAGUGGCACAUCAUUACCCUGCGGGGUGACUUUGGUUCACAGGUGGACAUAAGAGCUUCUAUUUAACAUAAUCUACAAUCUUUAACACACUAGUGAUCUUUACUUAUCACUAUAAGAAGAUUUUCCCCCAAGUGUGAAACAUACUUACUUAUGCAUGCAACCCAACUGAAUAGCCCUGAAGCUCACAUCAUUUGCCACAAAAGGAAACCACCCAGCCUAGAAUUUCAGACUACACUCAAGGUAGAUUUCUUCUGUCUUCGCCCAACAGAUCCUUAUUCUGUGGAACAACUAAACUGCUCUCCUGAUUGCAUUACGUCCGGCCCAAUGAUGCAGCAAACAUCAGUCACUUUAGUUAAGAGAGAGAAAAACAGAGAGACACUUUGGGGCCUUCAAAGAUGAGAUUUCCCUACCUGUCAGAUGGAAUCCCAUCAGCAAAGAUGCUCUUUUAAGGGAGGGAAAUAUUCACACCGACACUCAACACCACGAGAUCAAAUCUGUUUUCUGUCUAUUCACAUUAGCUUGAAGCACUUACAGGAUUAUUGAUCUGCUUGGCUGGGUGUCACGAAGGGCUCUGGAAGAACACAACCGAUUGCUGAACGAGUGACAAUUUUACUUACAAGUUUGUCAAACAAGGGUGGGCAACUUUUUGCGGUCAAGGGGCCUCACUGUCCCCUUGAACGUGCUGGGGACGAUCCCAUUGUUGCUGAAAUUCACUGGAGACCAUUGAGGUUCUAGCCGUGCUGCCAAAAUCUGUUGACAAAAAUACAGUAUGAUUUUUGUGUCUGCGGGGCAUACAUUCCUUAACUUUCAGUGGAAAUGGGAAACUGUGUAUGAUAACCAACCUAUUGAAAUGAAUGAGAUUUGCCAGAAGUUCCAGAAAGUUGCCCUGGAAGAUCUACAAAUUACUGUAGUCAUGCUGAAUUAUAGUACAUUGGGUAGAUAAAUAUACUGAGAGAGAAUUACACUCUGUUGAUGACAUAACUGUAAUUUUUGGUGUUAUUUUCAUAAUUAUGGAAAUUUGGCAAUACUAAGUAGAAGUGGAUGGAUAUGACAGGCUUGUAGGUGGUGUCAUGGUUUGCAGAGAUACUAUAUAUGUGCUAACUGGAAAAGCAAAUGCAUGAAGCCGAUUGGCUGAGUUUGCAAGGACCUAGGAAUCGGUUUGCAACUGUUGCUGUCCUGCUGCUGGAGAACUGGUUUAAACAGGUGUGUGUGUGUGUGUGUGUGUGAGAGAGAGAGAGAGAGAGAGAGAGAGAGUACUGGCUGGAAAGAAGAUGACUCUGUGUUCAGAGAGGCCUGACAUUUUCUGAGGCCUUGUUUGCUGCUGAUCUUCACUGAAGCAAAUUUAUGGACUACCUAUCACCCACAAUCCCUAACAGAUGGCUCAUACUGUGUAUCAUGGUCUCUUAUGGAUGCUGGGGCAACAAUGAGAUGGAUGGGAAUACCAUAGCCCAGAAUUUAGGCUUGUGAAGAAGUUCCACUUUGAAAUGGGAAAGUACAGUUUAUUUUCACAAACUGUAGUAAUUAUGGUGACUAGCCUCUUUAUGAAGAAACCUGAGAAUUAUACCUAAUUCAUUCUCAAACAUGACUUUCCUAGAACUGUUUUCUCAAGAGACAAACUUCAUUUUCAGGUUUGCAUUGCAUGUAUUCAUGUGCCUUGGAAAUAAAUUAAAUAGCAGUAUGUACAAUUUACGUCGCCAGGUGGCACCAUUUUACAGGAAUUGACAUUUCUAUUUGCUAAAGGGAGCAAAAUCCUUCCUGGUGCCAUCUGUAACUAUACAUUUAAAAAUGAAUCUAAUUUUGUCUCCGUCCUUAUUUAUGCUGGAAACAUCUUAACCAGACACUUCAUUAUUUUUCAGCCUUUUAAUGUUGUGAGUGUUAGAACCAUGGCAGGCAUUUAAUAUUGUUUGAUGAAGAAGGUUCUUGUUUCUGUAUUGCUGCCUACAAUUCCAGUAGUCUUGAGUUCUGCAUAAAGACUUCACAAUUGUGUUUAUUUAUAAGCCUAUUUAGGUCUUUAAAAGCGUUUAAGGGUGCAUGUUAAGAGGCUUUGCAAAGACAAUGCCAAGUAAAUAAUCUAGCUUUUUAGUCCUGCUAACUGAAAUGAUUUUGAGUGAACCUUGUAUCCAAGGAUGCCGUUUCCACUGAUUCAACUAUCCAUGGCUUGGAAAAAAUUUUAAAAAACAAAAGCUUACCUUGAAUUUGCCGUUUUAUAUAAUUUCACUAUCUGUCGGGGGUGCUUUGAUUGUGCUUUUCCUGCAUAGCAGGGGUUGGACUAUUUUUAUUUAUUUAUUUAUUUCAUACAUUUAUAUCCCAUCCUAUAAUAAAUAAUAAUAAUUCUCAUCCCUGGUUUGGGGGGGGGGACUCAGGGUGGCCUCACAACUGGCAAUCAUUUGAUGCCAAAAUACAACAAUUCUAAUAACAGUUACAAUUACGACAAAUAGUUAAAACAUCAAUUAUAAAACCAUCCAUUUAAAAUUACAUCAGUUCAAUUCAAAGUCAUAGUCCGAGGUCUGUCUAUUGUCAUUCACAUAAAUCAUUUCAUUAUUAUUGCUGCCUCUGCUGCUCAAAUACCUGGCCCCAUAACCAUGUUUUAAGUUUUUUCCCUAAAGGAUAGGAGGGAGGGGGCUGGCCAGAUUUCAUUAGGAACCGUUUAGGGCUUUAUAGGCUAAAGCCAGCACUUUGAAUUGUGCUCGGUAGCAGCCUGGCAGCCGGUGGAGCUGACGUAACAAGGGGGUGGUAUGCUCCCUGUAUGCCGCUCCCGUGAGCAAUCUGGCUGCUGCCCAUUGGACUAAUUGAAGCUUCUGAACAGGUUUCAAAGGCAACCCCAUGUAGAGCAUGUUGCAGUAAUCUAUUCUAGAUGUGACAAGAGUGUCGACCACCGUGGCCAAGUCAAACUUCCCAAGGUGCGGGCGCAACUGGCGUACAAGGUUUAAUUGUGCAAAAGGUCCCCUAGCCACCGCCGAGACCUGGAGAUCCAGGCUCAACGAUGAAUCUAGGAUCACUCCCAAGCUGCAAACCUGUGUCUUCAUGGGGUGUGUGACCCCAUCCAGCACAGGCUGUAACCCUAUGCCCUGUUCAGCCUUUUGACUGAGCAGGAGGAUCUCUAUCUUGUCUGGAUUCAAUUUCAAUUUGUUUGCCCUCAUCCAGUCCAACACAGCAGCCAAGCACCAGUUCAGAUGGCCCAUGUGGUCUCUUCCACACUUCCAGCUAGAUGGCCCAUGUGGUCUCUACCAACUUUAUUAUUCUAUGAUUCUACUACAUCGCUGUAUAUAAUGUGAUUUCAGCAUCCAAGAAUUUUGGCAUCCAUGGAAGGGUCCUGGAACCAAACCCUAGCAGAUAUUGAGGGCCACUGUGUUUAUAGAGAGUUGGAUUAGUGUUUUACAGGCUCAAAUUCACACAGGAAUGUGACACUCUUAGGCCAAUCAUUUUCUCAGAGCUUCUCCUAUCUUGCAAGAUUGUUGUUAUAAUCAAGCAGGGAGGAAGAGAGCCAGGAUUGCUAUGUCUUUGUGUGAUAUAUGAUGUUAUUUUAUGUCAUGUGUUUAAUAAUGUUUAAUGCUUUAUCAAGGGAGGGUCAAUUUUGAUGUUUUAUACUUUUUUUAUCGAGGGCAUUGAAUUGUUGCCAACACUGUGAACUGCCCUGAGUCCCUUCGGGUUUGAGAAGGGUGGUAUAUAAAUACAGCAAAUAAUAAAAUAAAUUGCUGCUUUUAGUUCAUUGCAAGGAAGGCAAGGGCAACAGCACCUAGACCUCAAAGUGGAAGAAGAUAUUUGGGGGAAAAAUCAUGUAGCUUCCAAAGAGACUUCUCCAACUUGUGACCAAUUAAGCUAAACACAAAUCAAGUACCUGUUUGGUGCUUGACAGCUACCCUCCUUACUUUAGUAGUCAUUGAAUGCAAGUCAAAAUCCAUCUGGUCCUUGGUGGGUUCGUUGCCACAUAAUUUCAAGUUUCAGCUGCCCAGAUGUUUUUAAAAGGGGAUUCUAACGAAAUAGGCAUUUAAAGCUUUGGCUUUACAGUUUUAAUUAUUUAAUUGAUUUGAUUAAAAAGUUCUCACUAGGAAUCUGUAGAUCCUCCAAAGUGACUCUAUAGUCAACUUCCUGUAUUCAUGCUGGAGUACCUAGAGAUUUCUAGAGAGAACACUCCUGAAGGACUCUAGAUCCUCCAAAGCAGUUCUGUGUUCAGCUUCCAAUGGAGGUUGACCAGAGUCAUGCUGGAAGACCAGAAAUUCCAAGUCCGGGGGGAGAGAGGGCUUGAGCAUCCAUGGAUUUUUGCCAUCCACAGAAGAUCCUGCAACACUUAGCAGUAUCGUAGCCUUUCAGUAUCCAAAGGGAUACUGAUGGACUUUGGAUACUGAGGGACUAUUGUACUGCUGGGUGCUGCAGGCAUGCCCUCCUAUCCGAGAAAAUAAUAGAUGCCUCUGGGAGCCAUAUGCGUGUGUUGUUCAUGAGGCAGUAGCCAUGGCUAUCCAAUGCUCUUGCAAACCCUCCAACUGUCUGAUUUGACAAGGACAGUCCUAGCUGAUCUGUUGUCUCACUUUUUCAACUGCUUUGAAAGUUUCUCUUAGAACUUCAGUUGGUACAAAUUUCAGUCGAAGUGCCAAACUGGUUUGCAGUCAGUUAACUCCACACUGGGGAGAGGAAAAGACGGAGUAGACUCUUUCACUUUCCAGAAGGCUCAGACAAGAGCAAUCUGCUGCAAUCUCUCGUUGCUUGUGUGUUCUUUCUCAUUACUCAGUUUUGCUUUCACAAAACUCUGAUGUUGUGUAGUUACAUAUAUCCACAUUUCCAUUUUUAAAAUGUUGGAGAGUGUAUGAGAAUACAUGCUUGCUACCAGCACAUGGUCCUUCUAAGACAACAAGAUUAUUUAUGUAAAGAAGUGUUUUAAGUUCUAACACAUGGGUUAAAAAAACCAAUAGGGAACAUGUUGACAGCACUUUUCAGGAAUGAGUGGCACCCUGGUGUUUCUUGAUGAGAAAAAGUAUGCUGAAAUGCAAAAUGUAGGUUUACUUGAUUUUCUGGUAUCAAAUUUCAUUGUCAUCUCAGGAACCAAACAAACCACAGAUACAGCUGCAUCCAUGAGAUCCAGCAUUUUGCACUAUAAGGACAGAACUAUGUAUUCCAACCUCUUAGACUUGCCUUCAGAGUUGACAUGUGCACUUUUGGGCUCAUCUACACAAAAUCUGAGGCCAAUUCCAGCAUAGUAAUUCAUCGUCUUGGACUCGAGGGCAGCUGCAUUGCCUGACACCAUCCUGCUGUUGUUGUGGGGCAAAGUCCAUGCCAUUCAUUCUGGCAGAAGAUGGUUUGACUCCACUGAACAGUCAUUUAUGUAGACUGGCCCUUGUUGCCACAGCAGCUGACUCUGAGGCUCCACAGAGUUCUUGAUCAUCGCUGGACAUCUUUGCUGAUUUCAAGGAAGGCACCUGCAUGACCUAAAGAAAGGAGGGAGUAAUAACUGCCAUGGUUACAAGAAACAGCAAAAUUAAGUUCCAUCCUCUCUUCUGGCCUGGUGUGGGGUUUUUACACAAUGUAGACAGGUCCUCGGUAUCACAGGAUUGAUGGGUGCAUUGAGAACUGGGAGAAGCAACUGUGGCACUUGUAUGACCCUGGACCUUCUGGAGUCACAUGGAUUGCUGAAAAACAAAACAAUCCCUCCCUCCUUCCCUCUCCCAAAGUGCUUGGAAGACUUCUUCUGAUUCUCAAAAACUGACAUCUAAUUAAUAUAAACGAGCCUUGCAAUGAAUUGAUGGUGGCAAUGAAGAACAAACUGCAGAAGGAAUAGAGGCACAUCUGCUCAUUUGUCACUCCUUCCUCCACCUUAAACUCCUUCCACACAGCUGAUUUCCUCUCUGUGGGUCUCUGUAGGUUUUCCAGGCUUCUGACAUCUCUCCAGAUGAAAUAAUGGUUGGCUUGUGAUAACAAUUCUUCAUCCCAGAUAGGGACCCUGAGAAGUACGGCACAAUAUAAAGCUUCCAGUGGAUUAACUUGUAAAUAGUUGUAAGUGUGAUGUUGUUUGAGCUUAUUAGUAGUGAAUAAGGUAAUGUUUGAAAUCAUGUUUGAAUGUGACUGAAAGAGCCUUGAUGGCUAAGCAAUUAACUCCCUCCCCAGCAUUGGUGUGCCAAGUGGAAGCGGUCAAAUUGUAAAGCAGACCAGCCUGAUGUCUUCCUCUCAUCAUGCUUGCCAUUCAGAAAAAAAGUCCCACCAGCUGCUUCUAACCUUGUUGUCAAGGCUGCUGUAGGGAAAAGUGAUCGAUCAUCUGCUUCCCGCUUGUAGCUUUGCUGUGCAGCUGCUUUUGAGCGUGGAAAUAAAUACCAAGCUUUUGCAAGAACAGGUGCUUUGGUUUUGUUUAGAACCAAAGAAUAAGAAGAAGGCAAGGCAUAUGGCUUAAAUCCUACUGUUAGUCCCAACAAGAUUAGAGCCUUUGAAUAAAGUGGAUUUAACUAUAUGUUGACUCACUAGUCAACUGUUGAUUCAGUAGCUUUACUCCAAUUGGGAUUAACCUAUGGGAUAAUAGCUUAUGCUGCUUGUUUCUUUGGAAAUAUCUACUGCCAAAAAACAAAAAUGUUAUCCUCCCAAUUUGGAGGGUCAGGGAUGUUUCUGUGGUCAUCUUCCUCUUGCCAAAAGAAUGAAAUAUGUCUAGAGUUUUCUUCUUACUGGGCAAGGCUCCCCAUUCAACCAUUGAUUCAUUGGGUCUACUCUGGACAGGAUUCAAACUGUUGUAUGCAUUCAAGUCAUUUCUGACUUAUGGAUAAGGCAAACCUGUCACAGGGUUUUUUGGAGCUAAGAGUGUGUGACUUGCCUGAGGUCAUGCAGUCUCGUUCUACUACUUAAGAUGGAGGCUUGCACGUAGCCUUUUCCUCUUCUCUAGAGAUGAUUCCUCCCCCCCCCCCCCAAACUGGAAAUGUUGGACCCUUGUCUUUUGCCUGAAGAUAACUCACAAAAACAAAUCUUGGACCCUGAGAUCUGGCAAUCUCAUCUGGUGCCCAUAACUUUUGAUAUGGGCCGGGCCGGGCUGUGGUGCAGCUGGCUAGUAACCAGCUGCAAUAAAUCACUACUGACAGAGAGGUCAUGAGUUCGAAGCCCGGGUCAGGUUAAGACCCCGACCAUUAAAUAGCCCGGCUUGCUGUUGACCUAUGCAGCCCCAAAAGACAGUUGCAUCUGUCAAGUAGGGAAAUUUAGGUAUGCUUUAUGCGGGAGGCUAAUUUAACUAAUUUACAACAUCAUAAAACUGCCAGCAAAACACGAGGAAAGGAAUGAGGAAGUACAGCCACGAGUGGACAGUGAAGCAACAGCUCCCCCUGUGGCCAGAAUCGUGAAGCUGGAAAAAAAUGUUAAAUGCCUCUGUGUCUGUCUAUAUAUGUUGUUUGUCUGUUGGCAUUGAAUGUUUGCCAUAUAUGUGUUCAUUGUAAUCCGCCCUGAGUCCCCUUUGGGGUGAGAAGGGUGGAAUAUAAAUACUGUAAAUAAAUAUGGGACCUUACUUUUGAUGUGGAUCCUUAGGUACUUUCCUUCCUUAUGAAGGAAACCAUUGCUGGACUGAGGUGAGAUACAGCUGGUGAAAGAGGUAGUAGCUUUUGCCAUUACUUUCAUACACAAGAACAGGAAACUGUUGCCUGCUGAAUCAGAAACUUGAUCCAUGUAGCCUGUUAUUGCCAACUCUAACACUCUAGAGUUUCAAGCAGGGUUCUUUCCUACUCAUACCUGAAGAUUUUUGGUCUUUCAUCCAAACCCAACUGUGUUUUGUUAAUGAAAUUGGACAUCCAAUGAUAUGAUAAGGUCUUCUGAAAAUGUGGCAGAGCUCUUGCUGCCUGUAAUAACGGUUGAGCUUAUCAACUUCAGCAGCAGAGAAAGUCCUUAGAAAGAAGUUAAACAUGAAUAGCUUCAUUUAAAAAAGAGACAUGUUCAAAGAAUAAAUUGGAAGUAAUGAUGGGACCUGACUCACAAGGGCAUUGAAAUAAGCCUGAGUAAUUAAACUAAGAAAUCACUUCCUGACUUCAUUUUAGUUGUUACAUUGGAAUGUCAAAAUAAAUUCACUUUCAGUUGCCAGUCUCAGCUACUGUGCAAAACAUUUCAAUUUUACAUGAUCCCCUUAUCUGCAGGGAAUGCAUUGCUGUACUUCAUAUGGAUAUGAGAAACCAUGGAUAAUAGCAAACUUCUAGCCAAGAACACAGUUGUGCUGGAGGACGUAGCAUAUGCCAAGGGAGGACAUAUUUUGUCAGAUGUGGAUAAAUGAAACCUCAGUUACUGAUCCCAUGGAUAUGGAAUUAUACUAUAUACAUUUUAUCUUCUUUUCAAAAUUAUUAACCAGAGUUUUAAAAGCAAAAAAGGAAAUGGCAGGCAUGGUUUCCAAUUACUUGCCUAAUUUGUCUAUUAACACAAUAAUAUGCAGAAUUCUCAGAAGUUUUUUCCUUUCGCUCAGCAGUAUUCCCAAAUACCUCCGGAAGGUGUGAGUACUUCUCUGGGGAAACCAAUUCCCCUCUUUUUAUUGAUACUUGCUCAUUAUAUAUACGAGAGCAUACAUAAUGGAAUGGCCUAUUUGUCUUUUUCCUCUAAUGAAGCUUAGAGUGUGGCUGGUUAUAUAAGAGGAAGAACUCAGCAAUGCUGAGGCUCACAGUAUUUUAUUUCAGAAGAAUAAUGGAUUAUCAUAUAAAGGCGAAAAAAAUGAUGAUCAUGGGUGAGCCUGCAGCUGGCACCAAAUCAAUGGUUGUUAGUAGGGUUGCAAAUGUUUAAUCAAAUUAAUCAGCUUUUAGAACACUUUUAAUCAACUAAAAAGUCCCCCAGUUAAUCAGAGUAUUCUGAGUGCAAAUACUUAUAAAGAGGUUUUUAACAUGUUUCCUAAGAUCAUCCAAAUAUCCCUGCAUCAACUUAUGUCCUGCUCGACUAUACACUUGAUAACUGAUUGAAUUAAUUAAGCAAGAGAUUAGGCAACUCAUGGUUUGAACUAGCGUUGACCCUCUUUAUCCACAGAUUCAAUCAUUUAUGCUUAACUUGACUUUGCCAUUUUGUAUAAAGGACAUGCUUUUAUUAUGCAAUUGCAGAUAAUGGGACUUAUCAUCCAUGAAUUUUGGUAGCCACAGGGGGUCCUGAACCCCAUUAGGUACCAAGGGACCAGUGUAUAACAUGCAUUGUUUCUAGUCAUUGGCCUUGUUACUUACUUACUUACUCAGGCGAUACCUCGUAGUUCGAGGAUGAUGGUCCUCCAAGUGUAGCGUCUUGGCGAUAGAUAUGUAGGUGGCUGUGGAGAACUAUUCUUGACUCGUAUGUUCUUCCGCAGUGAAGACAUUGGUUUCCAGACAGAAGGCGGUCCCAAUCAGGGUUGGCUUGACAUGCCUUCCUCUUGGCACGUUUCUCCCUUAAGCCCUCCAUUCGUGCCUCUUCGAAUUCCGCUGACCUCCAAUACAGCGCUCAAGGGCCAGGGCUUCCCAGUUCUUGGUUGGCUUUGAGUCCAUCUUUAAAUCUCUUUUCCUGUCCAUCAACAUUACAUUUCCCAUUCUUGAGUUGGGAGUAUAGUAACUGCUUUGGAAGACAGUGACCAGGCAUUCGGACAAUGUGGCCAGUCCAGCGGAGUUCAUGGUGUAAGAGCAUCGCUUCAAUGCUGGUGAUCUUUGCUUCUUCCAGCAUGCUGACAUUUGUCCGCCUGUCUUCUCAAGAGAUUUGCAGGAUUUUUUGGAGGCAACGCUGAUGGAAUCUUUCCAGGAGUUGAGUGUGAAGUCUGUAGACAGUCCAUAUUUUGCAGGCAUAUAGCAGGGUUGGGAGGAUGAUAGCUUUAUAAACAAGCAUCUUGGUAUCCCUAUGGAUGUCCCAAUCCUCAAGCACUCUCUGAUGCAUUUGGAGAAAUGCUGCACUCUCAGAGCUCAGGCAGUGGUGUAUUUCAGCGUCGAUGUUGACUUUUGUGGAGAGGUGGCUGCCUAAGUAGUGAAAAUGGGCAACAUUUUCUAAUGUUACACCAUUAAGCUGUAUUUCUGGCAUAGCAGAGGGAUUGGCUGACAACUGCUGGAAGAGCACUUUGGUUUUCUCGAUGUUCAAUGAGAGGCCAAGCUUCUUGUAUGGUUCUGCGAAGGUGUUUAGAGUGGCUUGUAGGUCUUCUUCUGAACACGCACGGACUAUGUUAUCAUUUGCAUAUUGGAGUUCUAUAACAGAUGUUGUUGUGACCUUGGCUUUGGCUUUCAGUCUGCUUAGGUUAAAUAGCUUGCCACUUUUCCGAUAGAUGAUUUCCACUCCCGUGGGAAGCUUCCCAUCAACAAGGUAAAGUAUCAUAGCAAUGAAGAUGGAAAAUAAGGUUGGGGCAAUAACACAUUCCUGUUUGACACCUGAUUCCACCUUAAAUGGGCCACUAUGGGAGCCAUUGCUUUUCAAGGCUGGGGGGAGUUAUAGACAUGUGAUCAAUACUGAGCAUAUGCAGACUCAGAACUCAGUGUUCAGUGUGUGUUUGGACUUCAGUAGAGAAGGUUGCUGUUUGGAAUUCAAUGAAAGCAGAUGUAUGUGUCCAGGCCUCAGUGGAGGUAGGUGCAUGUUGCUGUUUAGAGACUUCAAUAUAGAAGUAUGCUUAUGAAUGUCAGUGAGUACAACUAUACCUAAAGACUAUGGACUAUUGAUUAAGAAUGAUACCCUGUGUAUUCAACACAGAGAGAACUACAUCAUAUCUAUAACUGAACUUCAGCAAGAAAUGUGCCUGUAUGUGAAUUAAUACAAGAUGUUUAUGAAUAAACAAGAUAUGUUAUUUUUCAAAGAAGACUUUGUUUUUUAACUCUGCAUAUUUUAAACUAAGAGGUUUCAAGGGAGUGUAUAUCUUUUGGGCAAUUACAACUGCAAACAACCAUUCUCUACUAACCAAAAAUAUUUUUGUAGUGGCAUGUCUUCAUCCUUGGCAGUUUAAAGACAUGCUUUCUCAGUUUAACAGCAGAGUUACCUGUGUGCAAUUACAUGAAUGCUUGUGAAUACCACUUGUUCAAAGAUUUAACUUCUAACAAGGUUAUGCUCUUCUUGACUAGUGGUUUUCAAGAGGUGGUCUCCACAUGUUCGUGGAGAUUCACAUUUGCCAAAAGGAUAUGUGUCCACAGACUAGGUGCAGUUAUUGUCCAAUAGCUUAUGCAAUAGGUCAAGUUUUGCAGUAGGCUAUGGCAUUUGCAAUAGGCCUUGGUAGAUGGAGUCAUAUUAACACUUCUCCUUCCUUCACUUUCUCAUCAACCAUCAGCUGUCUUAUUCCGUGGCAACAGGAUCCAUUCAGUUUGUAUAAAAUGAACAGCCUGCCCCUUUGUUGCAGGAAACUUGAGUGGGUAUGAGAGGAGAGGCCACCGACAUGCCCAUCUCAGAAGACAUUAUUGAGACAAACUGGGAUCAAGCGAUAUUUAGUAUCAAAAAUGCUAUUUGGAUAUUCCAGAAAAAUGUUAAUACACGAGGAAGGCAAUCCACUAAUCUGAUCUCCUUGGCCAUCAAUGUUCUCUCUGAAAAGAAGAGCAUCUUCUAUGUUGGAGACACACCGGAUGAUCAGAAACCUGAACGAGCAAUGAUGAUGUGUGAAGCUUGACUUCACACUGAAUUUCAGGAACAUUACUUGAAAAAGACAGUAAGAUACAGGGAGGCAUACCAACCAAAGGCAAGGAGCCAAGAUCUUGAGGAAAGGCAUCAAUAAGAGUGGGCAUAUUGGUUGUGUCUGCUUUUUAAAAAAAUUAGAUCCCCAGGAUCCAUUGAUUAAAGUUCAAAAGACAUAUGCCUAGAAGUGAAGAAAAGGAUGCCUCUAAGCAUGUUCUGAAACUAGGAAUUUGACUCAGAACUGAAGUUACACAAUUGUCCUUUUCAGCUUUCUUCGUUUCCUACCUAAUUCCGAUGUGAAAAAUCUACUGUAGCAAAUCAGCUGGUGUUCUGCAGUUUGGGCCAAUUCUAUAGACACUGACCUCAAAAUAAUGAAGCCGAGCAUCUCUGAAUCUUCAUUGUAUGAAUAUAAAAAUUGCAGAGGUUUUUGCUUCUGGACUUGAAUAACACUAUGUUUAGGUUGGUGGGUCUAACUGGUUAAUGAUGGUGGGGAUAAAAGACCUUAUGUUUCAUGCAGACUACACAGACAUUUCUAGCGCAUGGGCUCAUUAGAUGUCAUUCUGCAGAUGGAAACACUAAGAAUUAUUUGAGAUGCAAACUUAAAAAUCUAUAUCUGCUGACCCACCUGGAAAGCAUACACUCCUUCAGAAGUUACAUCCACUCAUUAUUGUUGUAUCGCAUACCUCAAAUGCUAGCAUUUUCUGAAUUUCAAACUCUUGUUGCACAUCUAAAGUCGGAAAAUACAAUUCCAUACUCUCCAAAUGUUGGCAGAGACAGUCCCAAUUAAUCCUCUGUCAUCUUCCUUUUUUAUCUGCCUUAAAAAUGUUCCAGUUUUUUCUUUUCCUCUCUUACCUCUUUGUCCUCAACUUACCUCUGUUGCUGCAAUCUGAGCUCAAAGCAUAAAACUAGUUUGCAUUCAAUUCAGCAGAGGAAUCAUUCCCUUCCCAAUAGGCUCAAGCAAAAGCAAACUGCUUCAGCCUCUCUUAGUUUGUGUGUCCUUUCUCAGUAAUAACUUUUGUCAUUAAUAACUCUGAUGUUGUUUGCUCAUAUUUAAUCCCAGUAUUUAUCUGUGAAAUCUUGGAGAGCAUGAAAUUCCAGAAUCAGAUCAAACAGGUUUUGUGUUAGAUUUCUGAUUUGUUUUAAAGAGACCAUCAUCACUGAUCCAAGCUAAAGAAGGCUAAGAAAUGAAGCUAUAUAAAAUCAUGCUGCUCUAUGCUAAUCCUGUAGACAUCUUAUGUCUGAUGGGUUGUUCUGUGUUUUCCAGGCUAUAUGGCCAUGUUCCAGAAGUAUUCUCUCCUGACGUUUCGCCCACAUCUAUGGCAGGCAUCCUCAGAGAUUGUGAUUUAUACCUCAUAUACCUCACAACCUCUGAGGAUGCCUGCCAUAAAUGUGGGCUAAACGUCAGGAGAGAAUACAUGCAACGACUCUUUGAUCCCGGCCUUGAAAGCCUUCGACAACACGUUAUGUCUGAUGCAUAGCAUAUGGUUGAUAAGAUAGAAAACUGCCAUGAACUGAGACAGAUCACAAAUCUAUCACAGUAUUGACUUGGCAGUGAGAUGCCAGAUAAUGAGCCCAGGUCCUGAAUUGUAGUCCCUACAGAUUUAUGAGUUGGAUCAACUGCAAAACCAUCUUAGCUGGGCUAGUUUUGUGGUUCAUUGGUUUCGAGACCUCCAUAUUGCUUUUUUGUUUAAACAUCACCUUACUGGAUGGGCUGCUAGAUUAAUGGCUAGUGACAAUCAUAAGCCAGCCAAGCCAUGUUCGUCACAAGUAAAAUGUGAUAUAGCAAAGAGGUAUGUCUAGCAUGACAUUUCAGCAUGAGAUAUGAAUAUGGAGUACACCUAAAACUGGUUACAUCCC